This 58042-nucleotide long non-coding RNA is filed under the name Eutrema salsugineum. Its description in RNAcentral is "long non-coding RNA (ESAL_LNC000632)". Lineage: Eukaryota; Viridiplantae; Streptophyta; Magnoliopsida; Brassicales; Brassicaceae. The record is from RNAcentral.
GCUUUCUUAGCUGCCGGCUCCUCAUGACUCGCCGCCGCCGGAUCAUCAUGACUCGCCGCCGCCGGAGGAGGAGCACCGGCGCCGGAAGUAGAGUGUGUAGAUUCGUACUCGUUGAGAUACUUCUCGGCCUUCUCGAGGUACUGACCAGCACCGCUUUUUUCAUCGAGCUUACCGUACUUCUCGGCGGCGUCUAAGAUAUCAGCGCUGGCUCCGGCGACUUUACCCUUGUCGAGUUUGUCGGAUUCGUUACGAGCUGCGGCUUGAGCAGCUUCGGCUACAAUCUUGGCACUAGCCAUGACCUCGGCGGAGGAAGCUGGUCUAUUGGUUGUUUCGGUUCCUUCGACGGGCUUGUUGUGCUCCGGCUCCGCCGUUUUCGUGUCGGAGAGUUUCUUUACCUGAUCAGAGAUGAAGUUCAUCUUUUGGUUUUUUUUUUUCUCGCUGAAUAUAGUUUUUUUUUUGUUGGAUGUAAGAGUUAAGAGAAUGGGAUAUGUGUAUAUAUAGACAGAAAAUGGAUAUUUAUCCACUAUAGGGAUAUUAUUUUUUGUAGUUAAUAACAAUACAAUAUUGUGUACGUAACUCAUUUCUAUAUUAUUAUUUAAGUAGACAUUUUUAAAUAUAAAUUUUAUUUUGUAAAAUAUUACAUGAUAUAUCAUUACAAAUAUCAAAGAAUAAUUAAAUUAAAAAAGGAUAUAGUUAUCUUUCAAAUUUAUUGACAAAAAUAUGGAAAGUCUUUGUUUCUGAAUUUUAAAAUAUGAUAGUUUUUAUAUUUUUGUUUUAAAUAAUAUCAUAAAGUAUAUUUAAUUAAAAAACAUGAAAAUAUUUUGUUUUCACAAUUAAAUAAUAUAAAAGUCAAAACUAAAAUUUAUAAUAUUUAAAAAUGGUGAAAUAUUUUUUACUUUAAUUUGCUAUAUUUAUUUCAUUAUAUAUGAAAUUUAUUUUAAAUUAUUUUUUACCAAAAAAUGACAUGAAAAAAUAAUUUUUAGAAUAAAAAAUUAAUAUUGAAGUGAGAUUUAUUGAUGCCUAUUAUAAUUAGUUUUAUAUUUUAAUCCAGUACAAACAAGUAAACGGAUUAAUUCGGUAUGAAUGAAUUAUAAUUCUAAUUUUUUAAUAUUCACCAAAACAAAUUUUGCAUUUCAAAAUAUUAGUUUUAAAAUAGGUGGUAUAUUAAAUCCACUAAAUAUUAUAAUUUGUCUUUAAGAUUAAAUAAAUUUUGUUGCAUUUUUAUUUAUUAUAUAUCAAAUCUAAGUUUAAAGAAUAUUAUACUAUUUUCAUAUAUUGUUAGAAGAUAAAAAUAUUUUUUUAUAGUUUGUGGACAGAUUAUAAAAUUCAGUUACUAAGCGAUGUAGUUGAUUUUAAUGAUAUUAUAAUAUUUUGUGUAUUAGUUUGAAUAAUAUUUCAGUUUAAUGUUAACGGGUUAAAUGAACAGUUUAUUUUGCUUUAUCUUUUUAUAACAUAUACGGAUUAACUUAAUUUUUAUAAUUCAAACUAAAAAAAAAUUAUAUACGAAUCAACUCAUUUUUAAAAAUUCACAAAAUAUGCACUACAUUAUCAUAAACUUUAUAGAAAUAACUGUUUUUAUAAAAUAACUAUUUUUGUAAAAUGAUUUAACUUAAUUGAAGAUAAAAAAAUGUUUCCAAAAAGAUCUAGUCACUUUAGUUUGUCGUGUUUAAUACUCCUACUAUUUCUUCUUAAUAAUUGUUGUGUAUGUUACAACUUACACAAAUGUGUAUAUCUUUGUAAUUUGUACGUUGAUGAGGUUACCUAAUAGGCUAAUACACUAACAAUUGUUAAUGUCGUUGUUUGUCGUGGCCGAAAAUACAUUUAGGGAUCAGUUAUUACAAAAUAUUUGUGACGAAUGUGCUGUUCUCUUGUCGAUCACACAUAUUAGAUAUUUCUUUUGUGGUGUUCAAUGCAUUGUCCUAUCACAUAAACAUCUAUGAAAUUAUUGUUUUCCAUUGAAGGUUGUCGUGUUGGUGGAAGCUUUGAUGGGUGAUAAAGGCAAUCACUUUAUUUUGUCGGCAGAGUAAUACAAGCUUUUUUUUUUUUUUUUUCUUUUCUAUUAAUCUCCCAGCUUGAUUCGGGUGCCCUAAGCAAAUUAGUUGAGCCCACAAUAAGUGACAUUAGUGACCCAAUAUUUACAUUGUGUUCUUAAAAGUUUUUAAACCCGAUUAGCGUUAGUGACAGAUACAUUUUAGAAAGGGCUCCAUCCGGGUUUUGUUGGCUUCGGUUUGAUAGAAUAGUAAUUAACGCAAAAUGGAAUCUUAUAUGAACCGGUUUGGCAUGAUGUUUAUAUUGGUUUGAGUUUGACUUUAAAUCAAAUAUAUGAAAUUCCAAAAAUUAAGUUCGAUUUAUUUUCUCAAUUUGGAUUUUUUUCUUUUCCUUUUCUAAUUUAAGAGAGAGUAUUAUAUUAUCAUGUGGUGGUUUUAAAUGGGUUCAAUAGGGUACAUGAUAAGCUCUUGAAAACAAAAGAUUUCCUGCAUUUGUAUUUAUGCGGUGGUGUCUGUUGGUUUUCUUAUGCUUCCAGGACCGUAUAAAGUCACUAUAAACAAGACAUCUGAAGCAAUGAUAUUUUUGGUUUUUCAGCUACCCAUGAAAACCAAGCUGAAGACGAUGAUGCUGCUCACGUUGAGGCGUUGGCCUCCCCUCCGGUCCUGAUAUCACUACCCGAGGUACCGCAGACCCCGAUAUGCCGGAUUGAUGCUUUUUGGAUCAAUCACGGACAGGUUAGCGGCCUUGGUUGGAGUUUUAAGGAUGACAGAGGAACAGAGAUUUUUGGUCUACAGAGAUGUCGUAGAAGUCUCUCGGCUCUUCACGCCGAGAUGGAUUGCCUCUUAUGGGCUAUGUCAUGCCUGAGAGAAAUACAGAUGACGUCGGUGCAUUUUUAGACCGACUGCUCGGAUCUUGUGAGCAUGUGUGAAUCACCAGCAGACUGGCCAUCUUUUAAGACAGAAUUGGAAUCCUUUUGUAUACUUCGCGAGAGCUUCUCAGAGUUUACCUUAUCCUAUAUUCCGAGAAUUCAAAAUGUCCGGACGGAUAGUCUUGCAAAAUGAGCUCGAGCGAGAGGAGUUAUUUUUUCCCAAAUCGAUCAUAACGAGCCGGUCGAAGAUGGUUUUCAAACCACUUCUAAGAUAGGCCAAAUGUGAUUGUAAUAGUUGGAUAGCGGAAAAAAAAAAGCUACUAAUGAAUUUUUUUGAUAAAACUGUUGAACGACGUAAGAUAUGAUGGAUCGAUUCAAGAUAUUCUACGGUCUUUCUUUCUGUUAGAAUUUAUUUUAAUUAAUUUUUGGUUGAAAUAAGUUAAAAAAGCUAUUUAUAUUUUGAAAGCUCACAUUCAAAUUAAUUGAUUUAGUUCCAUUUUUGGUCAUAGUUUUAAAACCACCUGUUAUUUAUAAAAAAAUUUCAAUGGCAUACAAAUAUUUUGGUAUUUCAGCACUACUUGAAAUAAAAAUACCAAGAUAAUUACGAAAAUUGGUUCGAAAAAAUCAUAUGUAAAACUCGUUGAUCCAAAUCUGCUGCACUCUGUUUUCGCUGUCCCAUAUGCACAAAAACCACACAAGAUAAUCUUAAGGUAAUUUCAAGAAACUUCUUGUUGUUUCUAAAAUUAAAUGCAGAUCUGUUUUUUUUUUUUGUUUUGUUGUUGCUCUUUGCCUUAUUGAUGUUUCUUUCUUUCUCUUUGUAUGCAGCAUUGUCUAUGGCUUUUUGUGUCUAACAUCAGUGGAUCAAGCUGAUCAACUGGCAGAAAAAACUCAAAUCUUUCAAAGAUGGAAACUUUUUUUUUGUUUUUCCUGUAAAUUAUCCAAACUUUUAAUAAAUGUUACUUUUGUGAUUUUUCUAUGCAACAAGAUUUGAAAGAACAAUGUUUCUUCGUUGUGUAGCUAUCAAAAGGUGUCUUUGGCGUAAGAAUCAGAGGAGAACAUUUUCCACUAAUCUCCAAAUAUCUCAAGUGCACUCCAACAUAAUUGGAGAAGCAAUAGGUUUGAACUCCGGGGAUCGAGUGAGACUCUAGGGAUUGAUUAGAAUAAGCAACAUUUCCUUAUCUCCUUAGACUUCAAAUUUUUUUUUUCUUGACAAAAGCUUCAAAAACAUUUAUAACAUUUUUUCAGAUAAAAGUGACUUUACUAUUUAUGUUGAAUGAAUUAAAUUUGUUGAUGAUACAUGUGAAGAAAUUUAAAUAUACACUUUGUAAUUAUAAGGAAUGAAUUCAAUUAUGUGCAAACGUAGGACAGUGGAUAUAAGCACUAUGAAGUUUAACUAUCUGUAAAUGUUCUAAUUUCAAAGAAUGAAAAAACUACUUUCCUAAAUUAACAUGUGACGAGUCAUAAUCAUAGUGUUGAAUUACACUUUUAUUUGUCUUAGGUAAACGUUUUCUCUCUGGAGACUGUUAAGAUCCAAUGGAUGACUUUGAAACUUAUUGGAGGAUAGAUCAUCAUCAAGUGCAUUCAAACAAAAUUGGCCAAGCAAUAGGAUUAAUCUUUGGGGAUCGAGUACCUUUGGGUAGACCUCAUUGUUGCAAAGCCUCCUUCUAAUAGUAACAGUGGUUAGAUACCAGAAUCUAUUCCCAAAAAGAUUGUGAAACCUGCAAGAUUUGAGAGUUUCUAUGGACAGUUGCCGGAUGAAAUCUUUAUACACAAUAUUCAAAGAUAUGGUGUAUAUGAUAAGUAAACAAUAAUUUUUUGAUGAGUUAUAAGUAUCCUACCAUAUAAAUGAGAAUUUUAAAAUCUCUGUACACAAUUCAAAGCUUGCAGAAUUUUUUAUUUUAUUUUGGUAAAAAAAGCUUGUAGAAUUUAAUUUCAAUAAAGAUAAUUCGAAAACAAAUAUUUGAGGAUUUUUUCUCCCUUUCAUAUGGUAAAUUUCGGUUUAGUCUGGCUAUAGCCGGCCAAUAUAGUUGGUAUUAACUUAUUUUGUUUGGUUGGUUAAUGAUUUUUAUUUGAUUUUGGGUAAAAAUCAUAUGUGGUCUUAAACUAUUAAUGUUUCUCGAAGCGUUUGUUUUAUGAAAUCAAUGGGCAAAUUUUAGGUUAAAGACAAAUAGUUGGCGUUCAUUAAUUGAAUGGUGGAGUGGUUUCUGUAAUAUCAUUUCUCACACACACACACACGCACAUACACACACUAUAUAGCUACAAAUAUCUGAGAUCCUCUGUUUUAGUGUCAGAAACAGAGACAUGCUUUUCCAGGGAUUUUACCGGUAGUACGGACAAUUCCGGCUUUCUCCUUAACCUUGAGCUCUUCAUUCUGCCUUUGUUUCUCCGCCUGAGCUCUGGCUCCGGCAGCAAUCUGUUCAAUGUAUUCUGUGUCUUCUCUAAAUCUCUGCAAACCUCUCUUCCUCCUCUGUUCUAGUUCGCUCUGCUGUUCAUGUACCAACCGGUUAGAGACAAAAAUCUCAAAUCAUCAUUCAGUUAAAUGAUCAUGAGAUUAGAUUGAAAAAAAAAAAAAUUCAAACUAUAUUAUCAACCUCGGAUUUGUCCAGCUUCCUUCGAGCUUUGUCUCUCUUCUUCGUUUCCCACAGAUCGAUCUUUCUGGUUAACUUGUCGUACCUGCUUGUGUGAUACAUAUGUUAGUGUAUGAACAACAAACAUAUAUUAAGUAUUUUUUGUGAGUAUUGAGUGUAAUUACCUUGCUUCGAUCUUAAGUAGUUCAGCUUUUUCCCAAGCAUCAGCUGUAGAUUCAUCUUUUCGACUAGUAUAUCCAGAACUCUGUCUUUUGAUAUCCCUCGGUGGAAGCCGCAGAGGUGAAGGUGAUGGAGGAGGUGGUGGGGGUCGAGGCGGUGGUGGAGCACGGCGUUCUGAACGUGUCCUUUGCGGUGGUUGUACCCGCAUUGGAGCUUGCGGUUCAGAAACUGGUUUUCUUUGUCGUCUUUCCUGUUUCUCCCCUGAGUCUUCACUCUGUUUGGUGUGAUCACCUCUCAGGUCCAUGGAGAAAGUCGGAGUCUUUUUGGCCGGCGUUGACUUUCUCACUGGAGACUUUAGCGUGGGAAUUUUGUGUUCUUUAAGCUCUGGUUCUUUAAAUGAAAGUUGUCCUGUAUGAUCAACACAAUUGUUUUUUUUUUCUCUAACAUCAAGAUACAUUUUCAGUUAAACAAAAAAAAAAUCCAAUCUUUGAGUUAUUCUGUAACGUCACCUGAGAAUCUUCUUGAUAAGCUUCUCGGUUCCUCGAAAUGCGACAGAUCUUCUCUUCUACUUUUGCUCGUUGACAAAGAAGCUCCACGUUCAAGGCCACUCUGUUUUGUUUAAAAAUUUUCAGUUAAAAAUGCUUACUUUAAUUAGCCUUAACAUAAAUUCAUUUGUAGAGCACUUACAUGAUAACUCUCAAGCCAAGUUUCUUCAAAAGUGGUUAUGGCAUAAGCAGUGGCUGCAACUGCAGCUGCGUGGUCCAUGUCGCUGAUCGGUUCAUAACUUUGGUCGUUCAUUUGCCUCGAGAACUGCUUCUGUAACCAGUUUGAGGGCUUUUUCUUAUCUACCAACAAUGAACACACAAACAUGAUAAGUCCUAAGGUGAAAUUAAUCAAGCAUCAAGAAAAACAGAGCAGAAUUUUGUGGCACCUUCUUUGAAUGAAACAGAUUUCCUUGCUGGCACUUUCUUCUCUCUAGUGGAGCUACUAACCUCUCCAGUUUUUACCUGGGCAGCUGGGUGCCUCCUUCUGAGACCAAGAUAUCAAGUUUUUACAUCAAUAUGUAUGUAUAUGUACGUGUGGUUGAAUACAAAAGAUGUAUUUGGAGAUUUAGUAUUUUACCUUGUUUGCUUGAUCAAGCUAUCCAUUUCAAUCUAAAAUAUGGUGGGAGGACUUGAGAAGGUUUGUUUAGCUGAGUUUGAUGGUUUUGGGUUUUGAAGGGUUUUUGAGAUUAUUGCUUUGCAUGCAAGUUUCAGAUUUGGAUCAUAAAGGUGUAUACGUUAAGUAAAGAACACAUUUCUUUCUUUUCCCUCUUUGCCUUUUUGGUUCUUUGCUUUCUCAAAAGGACAGUGAAAAGAACAAACCAGAUACCUUCGAUUCAAUUUUCAUAUAUGGAUAAGGAAUCUUUUACAUGCAGAAAACACAUCAAGUACAAUCUUGCUUUAACAAAGAAAAUGAAUCUUACAAAACCAGAAAUCACGGUGAAAAUUCCUGUGUGUAAUAAAGUUUUUUUAAUAUGCAUAACUAUUUACUAAACAAGGAGGUCUAUCUCAGAAAGUUCGAGGACCUUAUGUGCGCCAAUCGCCUUCACGUCUGUUUUGAAGGCGUUUCCUUCUAUGUACCUGCAACAUACAUCCACCAAGAAUUAAGUUAUAAAACAUGGGUGAUAUAUAUAUAUAUAUAUAUAUAUCUUUACAAAGAGACCUUAGAGAGGUUGUGAACCUACAUAUUCUUUAGGUUUGGGUGAUUGUAGAAAGCAUCAGGGAUUCUUCCACUGAACUGAUUGUGGUCCAAGUGCCUGAGGUUAACACAGAACAUGCUAUAAGGAUGCAGGAGAGUACAUAGGUCUUUCAGAUCAAUUGUAAAGUUACGAAUAUAGAAUAAGACUUACAAGUAGGUUAGUCUUGGUAAUUUGGCAAGUGCAGAGGGUAUUGUUCCAGUCAUUUUGUUGUAAGAUAAGUACCUAGACUUGAAAGGAUAAGAUAAGGAGAGAUAUAAUUUGCAAGUGGCGUUCAUAAUUAAAAAAAAAAGUGAUCAAGUACUCACAAGAUCUCCAGGUUUGUUAGAUUUGAAAGCUUGUUUGGGAGUCCACCAGUGAAGUAAUUAUUAUUUAGAAACCUGCAGCCAGAAUGUAACUUGGGACAAAGUCACUUGUGAUGGCUAACUCUCAAACUCACUUACAGGUUUCUAAGAGCUGGAAAGCAUCCUUCUAUGCGUAAAAGAUCUCUUAUACUCCCGACUAAGUGAUUGCUGCCAGCAUCCCUAUAGACAUGCAGACCAUGACAAAAAGAUACUAAGUAUAUCUGUAAUCUGUUGGUUGAUCUACAUAAGAGAGCAUUGAAUGUAAGAGAUUACAGGUGGCGAAGCUUUUGUAAUUUUCCCAGCUCUGCUGGAAUACGCCCAGUAAAAUGAUUAUCCUGAAAAUGUAGGUAUUGGAGCUCCUUGAGAUUUGAUAGUUCUUUGGGGAUUUCUCCUUUGAAAUUGUUAAAGCUCAGGUACCUGCAUUAGUGAGAUCAUGUUACAUAGCUCAAGGAAACCCCUUCAAUGAUAUUCUUCCCUGACAAGAGUUAGAAUUACUUACAGAAAAGUUAGAAUUUUCAGCUGACCAAUUUCAGGAGGCAGGACAUGUUGAAGUUUGUUCCACCUCAAAUUCCUGUUUGCAAUACAAAUCAGAAUGCAAAACAAGAUCAAGAGAAAGCAAGCAGCCACGCUGUAUUCUUCAAACAACUAAUAUACAUUGAGAUCAUUGUGGAACUAAUAAAGUGUGUGAAGAACAUUACAGUGACUUAAGGCGCUUUAGCCGCCCAAUUUGCGGAGGAAUCGGGCCUGUCAAUUUGUUGUUGUGCAGAUCCCUGCAAAAUUCAUAAAGCAAUUCCUUCAAACAUUCAUACCCUGAGCUAUGGAUUUGUUUCCACCUUAGAGAAAAUGGGUAGCACUAGAACUAACAAGAACCCAAAAGUUUUCAUAUCCUCAACAAGAAACAGAUUGCAAAGUCCAUGAAGCUUACAGAACAGUGAGAUCUAGGAGAUUCGUUACAGCCGUUGGGAAAGUCCCGCCUAUCGACAUUGCAAACACUUCUCUGCAAAGAUCACAAAUACACUUAAGUGAAAAAAAUCAAAACUUUAAAAAAUUCAGAGUUUUUGAGUCAAAGGUUACAGCUUUGUGACGACACGGUAAUUUCCGACGGUGGAGCAAGUGACACCUGUCCACGGAGGCAAAACUCCAUUGCCGCAAGGAUCAUCUCCAACCCAAGUGUACACCACUCUCCAUCCGACCAAACCCUUUAUCUCAUUCAACGCUUUCACUGCCACACAACGAAAUAAAAAAAAACCCAAAUCUCUCGCUGAAUCAGAAAACCCCAUCAGGCGAAAAAAUCACAAUUUGGAAACAAUUAAAUGAGAGAGAGAUCGGGAAAACUUACAGUCUCGUUGGAGCGUUUUAGCGAGGGAGACAUUGAUCAGCAACAAAAGAGCGUAAACCCGGAAAAUCAGCGACAAGCUCAAACUCAAAUGCGCCAUCGAUAAUUCGAUUAUGCUGCGAAUGAUCUGUAGAGCCUACGAAUCAUAAAACUUUCGUGGAAUAAGAAGAAGAGUAAAAUCGAUUUUAUAAACUCGGCCAGUGAAAUGGUGUGGGAGAAGGAAGAAAUAUUUUACAUCGCCAUGGAAAGCAAGCUCAGUGGAAACAAAGCGAACCCGGCAUGCACAAAACGGUUGAAAUUCCUCAAACUAAAUUUAUUUUCAUAUUAAAAUUAAUUUAUUUACUUAAUUUCCUUAAACAGGCCGAUAUGGCCCAUAUUCAUGGGUUUAGAUAUGCUCAAGAGGCCCAUCUUCGGGGAAGGUGAUAUGUCAUAAAUCAGUAUUGGUUUUAAAAUUAGCUUUACAUCAAUAAAUCAAAUCCAUCCAAUCAGAGCGAACGAGAAAACGUCGUCGUGUUAAAUCACUGUUUAUAUCUUCCUUCUCCGGCGCUCCGGCAACAAUAAUUCUUCCUUUCCUCCGUCGCAAUGAUCGGCAAUUUCUCUUUCUUCCUCGUCCUCUUCGUAUCUGUCCUCGUUUCCUCUGCUAAUGCCAAGGAGACACUUUCCAUUUCCCCCAAAACUCUGAAUCGAUCUGGCGAUUCCGUCGUCAUUCAAUGGUCCGGCGUCGAGUCUCCGUCCGAUCUCGACUGGCUAGGCAUAUACUCGCCGCCGGAGUCUCCUCAUGAUCAUUUUAUUGGUUAUAAAUUUCUUAAUGUUUCCUCCACGUGGAAAUCUGGUUUCGGCUCCAUUUCCCUUCCUCUGACCAAUCUCCGAUCAAAUUAUUCUUUCCGGAUCUUCCGAUGGACCCAAUCCGAGGUCGAUCUAAAACACAAGGAUCAUGAUCAGAAUCCUUUACCAGGAACGAAACAUCUUCUAGCUGAAUCGGAGCAGUUGACUUUCGGAUCCGCCGUCGGGAUGCCGGAGCAGAUCCAUUUGGCGUUAGGCAGUAAGGUUAACAGGAUGCGGGUUAUGUUUGUAGCUGGGGAUGGAGAAGAACGUUUCGUGAGAUACGGAGAGGCGAAGGAGACGUUAGGCAACUCCGCGGCGGCGCGUGGGAUUAGGUACGAGAGAGAGCACAUGUGCGAUUCUCCGGCUAAUUCCACCAUCGGAUGGAGGGAUCCUGGUUGGGUUUUCAAUACCGAAAUGAAGAAUUUGAAUGGAGGCGUUAGGUACUACUAUCAGGUAAACAAAUCCGAACCUUUAAAUAUCAAUUUCUUUUGUCUAGAUUUUGAGGCUUAUUCAUGAAGAGAAUCAUUUGGGUAGUGUAGUGUAUCGUUGUUGGAUUAUAAGAAUAUAUCAAAGGUCAUGUCUUUGUGACAGGUUUUGCAAGGAAUAUGGUUUGUGAUUACAGGAGUGAUAGAUCAUCUGUUUUGAUUGAUCAUGUGAAUCAGGUUGGGAGUGAUUCAAAGGGAUGGAGUGAGAUCCAUAGCUUUAUUGCUCGAGAUGGCUACGCUGAAGAAACCAUAGCUUUCAUGUUUGGAGAUAUGGGUUGCGCUACACCUUAUACGACGUUUAUCAGGACACAAGAUGAGAGUAUAUCAACCGUGAAGUGGAUCCUCCGUGACAUUGAAGCUCUUGGUGACAAGCCAGCUCUUGUUUCACACAUUGGAGAUAUAAGUUAUGCUCGUGGUUACUCGUGGGUGUGGGAUGAGUUCUUUGCUCAGAUCGAGCCUAUUGCCUCGAAAGUUCCUUACCAUGUCUGCAUUGGUAACCAUGAGUAUGAUUUUCCUGAUCAGCCGUGGAAACCAGAUUGGGCAGCUUUCACUUAUGGAACCGAUGGUGGCGGCGAAUGUGGUGUUCCGUAUAGUAUUAAGUUCGACAUGCCUGGAAAUUCAUCAGAACCAACGGGAACGAAAGCUCCUCCGACUAAGAAUCUAUAUUAUUCUUUUGAUAUGGGAUCGGUCCAUUUCGUUUAUAUCUCCACUGAGACGAAUUUCGUUAAAGGAGGCAGUCAAUACGAAUUCAUAAAGCGGGAUCUAGAGUCUGUAAACAGGAAGAAAACGCCGUUUGUUGUUGUGCAAGGACAUAGACCGAUGUACACUACGAGCAACGAGGUUAGAGACACUAUGAUUAGACAAAAGAUGGUUGAGCAUUUGGAACCGCUGUUUGUGAAGAACAACGUGACACUUGCUCUAUGGGGUCAUGUUCAUAGAUACGAAAGGUUUUGUCCGAUAAGCAACAACACUUGUGGCAAACAGUGGCAAGGAAACCCGGUUCAUCUUGUGAUUGGUAUGGCUGGUCAAGAUUGGCAACCGAUUUGGCAGCCGAGACCAAACCAUCCAGAUGUUCCCAUAUUCCCUCAGCCUGAACAAUCAAUGUACCGUACUGGUGAGUUUGGAUACACUCGUCUAGUUGCAAACAAAGAAAAGCUCACUGUUUCAUUUGUGGGUAACCACGACGGAGAAGUUCAUGAUACCGUUGAGAUGUUAGCAUCUGGGGAAGUAAUCAGUGGGAGCAAAGAGGGCACUACUAAAAGCCCAAAUCUUAAAACCAUUCCUGCUUCAGCUACGGUUUUGGGAAAAUCGGAAUCUAAUGUCUCGUGGUAUGUCAAAGGAGCAAGCUUGAUGGUUAUGGGCGCGCUUUUAGGGUUCAUUAGCGGAUAUUUCACCGGAGGAAAGAAAGGAUCUGCAUCUGCUAACCGUUGGAUCCCAGUCAAGAACGAGGAGACAUAAUAUUAUUAGCUGAAUCUAUUUAGGGGCACGAUUUGUAUAGUAUCUUUUUUUCCCACGUUAAGAACCAGGCUUCUAAAGUUGGGAAGAAAUUAUGAGUUUUUGUACACUAAUAAUACUGAUUUGUAUUUCUUCUUACACCACUCUACGAUGUCACAGUUUAAAGGGCUUUUGGUGUACAUACAUAUGUUCUGUAUGAGUAUAAAAAAUUUAUUGAAGCUUCUAUAUCUGAAUUGCACAGUAUGUCCGAUCCAGGUUUAUGUUCGGUUUUUCUUAAAGUUUUAUCUUUUUAAGGAAGGUUGUAAUCAAAAUGAAACCGAAUUUAGUAUGGAUUCAGAAUUACAAAUCAUUUUAUUUUGACGACUUCGAUUUUUCGGAUGAAAAGGUAACCUUAUGUUUGACCCAAUAAAGAAAGGUAAUCCGUAACUGCGCAACAUCAUUUUAGCCAGAAUGAGAUUUGGUUUGGCAAUUCAUAGAUGAUUUGAUUUGGCCUGGUUUGUUAGACUAUGUCGGUUAAAAUUUUUGUUUUCCCGCGAGAUCAAUAAGGUGGAUGCUUUUACAUUCUUUUCAAUUCUAAACAUGAAAAUGAAAACAAAACAAAUUCUAUCAAAGCCUUUAAAACACGUGAGAUUCUCCUACUAUGUCUUAAAUUGAAUUCUCUUAGAUUCAAUUAAAUUCCAAGAUCCAAUAACCCCCCCUAAGUCUAAAUACUCUUGUAACUUGUUAAACUGUUUGAAAAUUCAAAAAAGAUUGCUUUAGCUAGGAAAUUGAAUGAAAUGAGUUAAUAUUGACAAUUUUUACAGCAAAGAAUGAACAACGAAGAAAAUUUGAACUGUACGAACGUAAAGAGAAAAAAAUACGAAUAGGAUUUUAGUAAUUUGUUUUUGAAAGGUGUUUAUUUGGAAAGCAAGUGACGUGCGCGUUGAUUAGCUCCUUUAACACGAGAGUUGAGCUCAUCAACAUCGUCGCCGAGAUGAUCAAGAGCCUUGUUUUGCCUGCAAAUUUCCCGCAAAUAAUAAUAAUAAUAUAAGUAUUUCAUAAACAUACCGUAUAAAAAUGUAUGAAAAUACGUGUGCAUUUGUGUGUAUCUGACUUCUCGAGCUCAGAUCCCAUAUCAACGGCCAUGCUCUUAAGAUCACCCAAAAUGUCACUUAAAUCUGAAAGUCCAUCGUCUUGCUUUGCCUUCUCUUGCUGCAAAUAAACCAUCGUAAAUACUUUUCAUAAAUUAAGCAAUUAAGAUUCACAAAUUUCUGCAAAAUUAGACACAAACCUCAACUUUCUGCAACGCAUUUGUUGGUUGGUUCAACGGUGGCGGUUGGCUGCUCGAUCUUCCUUUCCCUCCCAAACCGAGUUUCUCUCGCUCUUCCUUGUGAUUUCCGCUCUUCUUCGAUGCUUUAUCUAAAACAUUCCACAAAAAACAUGAUCACCAUAAAACAUGAUUCUUUUAAUUCAAUCAAGAAUGAGAUUCGGUAGCGUUUAAACAACAAAGAUAGAAAUGACAUGAGUUAGUUAACGAGGUCUCUAAUCUUACAAACUGAAAACAACAUACACAAUUUUAGAAUCUAGUCUCUUAAAGGUUUCAAGCAAAAGGGUCAAAACCUGGUGUGAUCAUUGGUCCUGCGAUCUCUUUACUCUUCUUCGGUUUCCAUGGCUUAGAGAACAUUCCUCCUAAGUUGUUCAAAAGCUUCUCUCCCUGAUCUCAAUAAAAACACUUUAACCAUAAAUAAAGAACAGAUCAUUCCUUUCUAGAUUGAAAAGAGAAAGAAAAGUUUACCCGACUGAGAUCUUUGUCCAUUUCAACAGCCAUAACAUGAGUCCUGUUGAUCUGUUCACCUUGCGUGUGCAACAUUUCGAGCGUUCUUGUAGCAUCCGAUUUGAUAUCUUCAGCGAUCUUAAGACAAUUGUUCACACCUUUGGUUGUUUCUUCGGCUUUAUAAACCGCAUAGUUCUCUAACUCUUCUGUCGUUUGGCUCUGCAGACCACCGGAAUCGCGGAAACCGUUUUUAUAUUUGUCUUCAUCGUCGAAAUCAGGUGUUAUCAGGAUUGGUUCUGAAGAAGUUCUUCUUCCUGCAUUGAUUGUUCCUCCUUUGUUGUUUGAUGAUUCGUUGGGAAGCUUGUUGUUCCCCGGAGAUUUGAAAAAUCCAAACAUCUAUUGACAAUGUGAGAAGACUACUGAUCAAUGUUUUCAAGAAAAUGGCAUUGGUGAUUUGCAGAAAAUGAUAAAAUAUUUUGAUAAAGUUUUGAUUAGGACGCGGUUUAAGCCAACGGUUUACCUGUGAGAAAUCUCUGGAGAAGACGAGAGAGAGAGAAAAGAUUCGGAUUAAGAAAAAAAAUCCAGAGAAAGAAAAAGGAAAAUGGUUAUCCAAAAAUAGAAACCUGUGACAAAAGAUGUGAGUUUCAAGAAUGGAUCAAAAGAAUGUUUAGUUAGAUUCUCUCUCUGUUUGUUUACCGUUGAAAGGAUCUAGGGAUGAAGGGAGACGCGUCGGAGAAGGAGAAGUAAUCAGCCACCACGUCACGUUCUCUGUUUCUUUCUACACAGUUAAGAGUCUCUGUUCUGUAACUACCAGACACUCUGUUUUCAAGAUCUUUAAGGAUAGUUUAAGGUACAAGAAACUAAAGAAAUUGAUUACAGAUGAAAAAAGUUAGUUUAUUAAACAGUUUUGAAGAUUUUUUUCUUCUUCUUACAAGAAAAUCUAAUUUACAAAGGUAAUAAAUAAACUACAAUAUAAAAGAAAAACAACAAUCUAAUUUAUUUUCAAAUUUGUUUUCUAACUUUUUACAUUCGAAAUUUAUUGACGUAUGGGUCUUGGCCAAAGAUCUCGUCGAUGAUGUUUGAAGUUGGAAGCAGAUCAAUGUUCUUAUUCCAAAAAUGAUCUGGCAGAAUCGAAUCACAAGGAUCAAACGAAUACGAAUGAUCCACAAGAUCAUUGCAGUGGCGCCAGUAAUUCCCAAUGUUGGAUUCUUCUCUGCUUUUAACUGGACAUCGAGAGUAGCUUACAUUGGACUGAAACUCAAAUGACAUGUACGAAUCUUCUUCCACAUUCACCUCUUCUUCUUCUUCGUCCCUUGAUAGGCUUUUCCCAGUUUUCUCAUCUGGAGUUUCCGCACCACCAAAGGUGUUGUCAUACUCCACUUGCCACUCGUCAUCAUCACUAUCAACGUCCAGGCUUUUAGAUCGAUUCUGGACAGCUCGUCUCCGCAGGAUGAAGACAUUGAAAUAAUAGCUCACAAUUUCCUUCAUGGUUCGUGAAGGAAACGCAGACUUCAGGUGUUUCCAGAAAUCCCGGUCCAGUGAAACCGGAUUGGAGUAAACAAUCUCGUGAAAUAGAUCUCCUCGUCUUCACUAGUUUACAGCAACUUCCUCCCCUUUCACCGAGACCUAUGUUCAGACAUCUUUCAUGUCCAACAGUUUCAAACAAGUCCUCUCUGUUUUCCAUGAUAUGCUGCUGCACACAUCUGAUGGACCCUUUAUCCAGGCAAAUGCAUUCCUUUCUUCCUUUACCGAUUUUGCAGACCUCUGUUUCACAGUCAGGCAUUGGAAUUAUGCACUUCCCCAUCACUUGUUCUUCAUCACUCGACUGGCCCCUGACUUCUUCCUUGACACAUUCAGGAAUAUCAGCCUGGUACUCUGACCCGAUUGGAACUGGUUUUCUAGGAGACAUCUGACACCAAUCAUCAUCAUCUGCUGGGAAAAUUGGUCUCCAGGGGAAAUCUGACUCGGGAGAUCCAUGAGAAAGGGUAGACUGAGUCGUCGCACCAGACAGAGAAUCCUCCUCAAAACCGGUUGUGGUCCAAGAGAAAGGUGCAUUGCUCUCAAACCCCUUCUCAACAUAAUACUCACAUUUGAACCCGUAGAGGUCACUUGGAUCCUCUCCUGUUAGUGAUAAGCAAGACAAACAGCAAUUAAGAAAGAUGCUCGAGUUUAUCAUGUUAACCCCUCUGCAAGAUGCAUAUUAUUAUUACCUAUGACAACACCUGAAUUCUCUAAUGAUUCACGAUACGGAACUCCUUCAUCUAGUUUGGCCAGCUUAUUGCAAAAACUAAUCUGUCUUGCAUGCUUCACGUUGUGCUCUCGCACAUCCUCAGCGUCAAAAGUGCGCUUAAAACCCAUAUUAACCUGUCAAAUGAAAACCACAAGCCAUUUAAUUACUUGGCGUGAAGGUUAUGUUAUCUAUGUCAACUGCUUUUUAAUGAACAUCCACAGAUAAACACUAACAAGUGACAAACAACUAUUAAGUCUAUAAAGGUGAGAGCUCUAAGACCCCUGUUAAUUUAAGGAAACUAAAGUAUAGAGAAAAAAUAUUAACCCCAAUUUUAUACGAGUAAAUUAAAAAAAUCCCCAAAUUUGAAGCCCUAACCCUAGAAUACAAUUCGCGGCUGAAAUCACCAAAUCACGGAUCAAAAAUCAAACAAUCGAUUACUUCUCGGGGUAAUAGACAAAAGCCCUCGAUUAAUUGACAGAUCUGACAAACCCUGAAACAUCAAAGUCAACGAGUUCCCAACUCGGAUAAAAAAUUGGGGAAAACUAGAAAUUAAGACGAAUCCGAUAAUAACAUCGAAAGAAUUCAACAUCUAAACAAGAGAUUGAUCAGAUCUGUAGUUUAAAGAUCUGGAUCUAGAAAUUCGAUGACUCAAACCCUAGAAUUGACAACAACGAAUGGAUGAUAUCAAUACGUAUAUCAAUUGAUUGAUGAAAUCAAGAGGAAAAAGAAUAUUACAAUAGAUUUGAAGAUCGAUCUGGAAGAAGGAAGGGAUCUGCAACUAAUUCGAAGAAAAUUUUGUAGGAAAAAAAUAAUUUGGGGGAAUUCGGAAAGGGGCUAGGGUUGAAAAUUCGUGCUUUUCGAUUAGGGGAAGACCCGACUUUGAAACCCGGAUUAAAUUCGGAUACCGAGACAACAUCGAAUGAGCUGUACCUUAUUAAUUUUUUGAAGCACUCGAAAUGACAAAAUUAUCCUCGCCGUUUUCCAGCACGUGCCUAGCAACUUGCUUUGGCAUAUCCUCGUAUCUAUCUUCUAAACCGAAACAUAAUAAUUUUCGUCGACAUAAACUGAUACUUAUUUAGACAAACCGAACCAAGCGAAUUGGACCGGUUUAUAAUCUAAUUAUCAUAAGCCCUAAAUUCCCAGAUUAGAUUCUCUCACGCGACCAUUUUCAAGCUCCCGAUUUUAAGCUUCCGGUAUCGCACUUUCGCCGAGUAGAUUCCUUAUUCUGCCUCUCUUUGUGUUCCGGAUUUAUAUAGCUCUUCGUAGCAUCCAGAUAUUAACCGUCGCUGAAUCUGCUCGUGAUCUGAGUAACUCCUAUUUUCUUGGGUAAAUUUUUCGCUCUGAUAAUGCUUGGGUUUGCUUGAUUUUUCGUGAUCCAUUGAUCUCUGAUUUUACUUGUGGAGUAGCUACUGAAAGGUGGAUGCUUUAAACCGAUAUGAUAUUUUUUAGCUACUAGGUGGUUACUAACUUACUAGCAUUUCUGGAAAUUUUAGUUUUUUUAUUGAAUUCGGGUCUUUGUCUGUCCUUUUGUUAUGUGUCGAUGUUUUUAUUAGAUGUGUGUUAUUAACCUAAAGCUCGAAUCUAAAGUCAUGUAUUGAUUCAAUUUUGUAGGCUCUGUGUUUAGUUCAUCAAGAAGUUCUGUGCCGCGAUAAAACAAAAAUGGCGCUAGUUGUGAUUUGUGGGCAACCUUGCAGUGGCAAAUCAAUAGCUUCUGUAACCUUAGCCGAAACAUUGAAAGAAUCUGAGACAAAACAGAGUGUCAGAAUCAUCGAUGAGGCUUCUUUCCAUCUAGACCGUAACCAAAACUAUGCCAACAUGCCUGCAGAGAAGAACCUAAGAGGAAAGCUCAGGUCAGAUGUUGAUAGAUCAGUCUCGAGAGGUGACAUUGUUAUUGUAGAUUCCUUGAACAGCAUCAAAGGUUACAGAUACGAGCUGUGGUGUAUCGCUCGUGCCGCUGGGAUUAGGUAUUGUGUAGUUUACUGUGACGUGGAUGAAACGCAUUGCAGGCAAUGGAACAAGGAGCGCAGUGAUAGAGGCGAAGCGUCGUAUGACGAUGGUAUAUUCGAAGAUCUUGUGAGAAGAUUCGAGAAACCUGAGAGAAGAAACCGAUGGGAUUCACCUCUCUUUGAGCUAUACCCUUCUCGAGAAGCAAUAGACAAAUCCUCUCCUGUGAUCUCAGAGGCAGUGACUUAUCUGACCAAGACUGUUGAUUCCAAAACCCAAGAUGUGAGGAUUCUCCAACCGAGUAUCGCGACUCAGUCCGCUAGAUUCUCAGAAGCGAACUCUCUUUACGAGUUGGACAGAGCGACGCAAGAAGUCAUCAAUGCGAUCGUGGAACAGCAAGCACUUGGUGGGGCUAUAAGCAGAGUCACUGUUGGCCAAGAGCUACCUCCAAUCGAAAUCUGCAGACCGAUUGGACUACCGGAGCUAAGGAGGCUUCGAAGAACGUUUGUUAAAUUGAUGGGUCAAUCGAGUCUGAGCGGGCCACAGUUACCAACUGACGCAGACAGCGCAAAGAGACGGUUUGUGGAUUACUUGAACAGAGAGUUUGGAGGUAAUAACGCUUGAGAUUUGUGGGUGACAUACAAAACAUCUUACAUUUUGGUUUUCAUUUUCUGAACUCGAGUCAAAUUUCAUCCUUUUUGUUCUUCACAGAAAUUUUGGAGCUAAAUUGAUGUAUCUUUUAUGCAAAGAUAUGAUUAUUAUACAUCGAGUCAAACAGUAUCGUGUUUGUAAUACUGUUAGUGAGAAAAUGAAGUUACAAAGACAUCUCUUUUCAGUUAUGUAAUCUAUUUGUCUUGUUUCUUUAACAUAAAGAAGACAACGGACAAAAAUCCGUUUGACAUUUGGAUGUUUGCUUUUCUCUUUUAAGAGAAAGAUACGACGGUACUUUUUUAAUGAUUGGAUUGUAAGAACUAGAAAAUCAGAAAAAGUGAAAAAAUAUAUGGAGAUGCAGGGGAUCGAACCCCGUGCCUCUCGCAUGCAAAGCGAGCGCUCUACCAUUUGAGCUACAUCCCCAAUUGAUUAAACUGACACAACAUUAUAUAUAGUUCUUAUUUUUAUCUAGUUCGAUUGUUUACUAAGCAUAUUGAUUACAUCAGACUAGCAAAUUAACGAUCUGUAUGUUUUUAUAGACACCAUAUGCAACCACAUUAUAUAAGAAGUAUAGUGAAUCUAUUAAUAAAAUAGGUUUGUAUAGUUUUGACAUAAAUUACCAAGUCCCAAAAUAUCUUCUUAUUAACAAACUUUUGUAAUAUUUUUUUUUUUUGGUAAUUGUUAUGCAUGCAUUGGACUGAUACCAGUUCGGUAGUUUUUUCUUUUCGUUCGUUAAAGACCAGGUAAGUAGCUGGUUGAGAAAUAGCUACGUGAUAUAUAUAUAUAUAUAUAUAUAUAUAUAUAUAUAUAAUUUUUUUUUUAAUGGCAUGCAUAGUAUUCGUUGUUAGUCUUCUUUUUUUUUGUACAAAUAUUCGUUGUUAGUCAUUCAACAAAGGUGGCUAUUUCAGCUCGCAGAUAAAUGUUCACUUUUGAGUUUUUUUUUCGUCUUAUGAUGUUCAAUUUUAAAAUUUCGUAAAAAUUAUCGUCCACAAAAAAUCUAUUAGUAAUCUUGAAUAGAACCGACAUGCCAACAUGACAGUUGGCAAUCGAUUUUUAGUGUGCGUGUUGGUUUUCUAUACCUUUAAACUAAAAGUUUCGUUCCCCACACGUAGUCAAAACGAGUGUUAAACUAAGUUCAAAAUCAAACCCAACACUCUUGUGAAUUGUGAUUAUCACUACCCGUUUUUCUUAAAACAGUAGUAUGAUAUUAUUAAGAGAUUUAGAAACGUUUCAUCAAGAUGUAACAUAUUCAAUAUAUAAAAUGUGACUCAUCAGUACGUAUAUCUAGAAAUUGUUUUGAUUUUAUUCAUGAAGAUGUUAGAAGAUGAGUCAUGUGGCUCAUGCCCAAAAAAUGAUAAUACAAAAACAGAAAUAUAUAAAUGUUAUCUCCAUACGUAAUGCUAGUUUGUCAAUUUCUUUUUCUUUUUCUAUUGUAAGUUAUACAAACAACUUACCAAACAAAACUACUUUUCUUUUUCCCUUUUAUUCCCUUAAAAUGUUUGUUCAAUCGAUUUAGUCACUACAAUAAAAAACCAAAUAUCGUACAGAUAGAACUUUUGGAACCCAAAGACUGACUUACAAAGGUUUUUAUUUAACAAAAAACAAUAUUUAAAUCGCCUUCAUUUCCUUAAAAACUCUUAAUAUCUCUUCAUCCUCUCUCUCUCUAAAGUCAUCAUCUUGGUAUUGGUGUGUGCCUGGUUUCUUUGUCCAAGGGCAAAGUCUAUUUUGUGUUUCCCCUAAAGAGCGAUCUUAAGCCUAAUCAUCAUGAGAGUGCUUCUCGCUCUCUUGCUUCUCUUGGCCUCGACUACAUGUUCAAGUAAUCUUAAUUUCUUCUCCCCUUUUUUGAUUAUCUUCCUAUUUUCCUAUUUCUCUAAAUCAAGCUUUAUGUAAGGGAAUGACCUUUUCCAUCUGGAUACUAUCAAAACCAAUCAUGAUGCCCUGAAAAUGGUUAUUAACGUAUUACUUCUUUUCUGGUCGUUAAAAAGGGUCCACACCAGGAUUUGAGAUUUCUUGCUCUGUCUCUGUCUCUGUCUGUAGGUGCAAUUUACUGUCUCUGCAAAGAUGGGAUAGGAGAAAAAGAGCUUCAAACAUCAAUAGACUACGCAUGUGGAACCUUAGCAGAUUGUAAUCCAAUCCGUGAAAAGGGUCAUUGUUAUCAACCAAACACCAUCAAAAGCCACUGUGAUUGGGCUGUUAACAGCUACUUCCAGAAAGCAGCUCAAGUCCCUGGAAGCUGCAAUUUCUCCGGCACUGCCACUACCAAUCAAAACCCACCUUCCAGUAAAGUCAACUACCCUCUAAACGUCUAUAUAGCUUUGAUGAAAAAAGUCGUUGUCUUGAUGAAUGUUGUUUUGUGCAGAUUUGGUAACAGGUUGCAUAUUUCCUUCAAGCCCUAGGUAAAAGAUCACUUCCAUUAAGCUAAAGCUGUCUCAUUUACAAAAUUGAGACUUUAAAAAAGUAAGCUUUUUCUUUUUUCGUACUUUAUAACAGCUCUGCAGCGUCUCCUCCAUCAACAACACCACCGGGAGCAACUCCAACAAACGGAACCACUCCAUUUCCGGGAUCUCCGACAAACGGAACUACUCCAUUUCCGGGAUCUCCAACAAACGGAACCACUCCAUUUCCGGGAUCUCCAACAAACGGAACCACUCCAUUUCCUGGAUCUCCAACAAACGGAAAUUCUUCAUUUCCGGGAACUCCUCCUGUGUUUGGUCCAACCGGAGGCUUUAACCCAAGCAAUAGUGCUUUUAGUUUGGCCAUUUCCUCUGUUUUCACACUCUGUUUCUCAUCACUAUCGUUUCUAUGGUGUUCUGAUCUAAGGUUGGUUCGUCUUUGAUGUGAUUCCUCUUUGGUUGGGAAAAAUAAGCUUAGGUGUUUGUUUGGUUUUUUUUUUCUCUCUGUUCUUUCAUCUAUGUAAAGGUUGCUCUCACUGGAAUUCUUGAGUAAAGAAAAAAAUAAACAGAACAUAAAUCUCAGUGAUGAGAUUGGAAACAAAUGAGACCUGAGGGAAGUGGUGAGUUUAUGACGAAGACUAGUCAACAACAACCAUAAAACAAAUACCAUUUAUUUUAUAUACAAAAAUAAUAUCUCAUGAUCAAUCAUAGACUAAAAAAUGGAGAACUUUUGUUUGGUGUGAGGAAUUUGUAUUAUUUAUUCAACAAAAAGACCAACCAACAAUGAAUGAAGUGAAGUACCAACUACUAGUACUACUACUCGAGAGAAUAUUUUGGUAAGAAACACACCUUCAAUAAUGGCCCAAGGCUCUCUAGGAUAUACUUUGAAUCUCUUUACGCCGACAAGUCUCUCUAACAAACUCUGUGAUCAGUUUAGCAACAGCAGCUGGUUUUUCGACGUGAGGAAGAUGUCCACAGUCUGAUAUUUGUUCCACACGUGCCUUCGAUAACUCUCCGUGCAGUCUCUGCAUUGAAGAGAAAUGGAUUAUGUCUAGAGAGACCAUUUGAAUAUGCUUAGUGAAGACAGAUCGAAAACGCUAACCCAAGCUAGCUUGUUGCUAAUGAUUUGGUCAUCCUCUCCCCAUAGUAUCAGUGUCUUCUGUGAAACCUGCAGACAGAAUCUUUUGAUUAGCCUGCAACAGAACAUGAACAGAAACAAAAGAAAUAAAAGCAAGCAUUGAACAAGAAUGCAAAGUUUCUCUUCUUGAUUCUUUUCUCUUCAAGAUGAGCUGGAAAUGAUUAAAAAGCUACCUUUUUUAUAAGAGAAGUAACGUUGUAUCCUCCACUUGUCAUAAAACUAACAGCUGCAUCUUCCCACCAAGGAUAUAGACAAUGCAAGCGACCAAUCUAGAUUGAGCUUGUAAGCGGAAAAUCAGAUUGAGAGCUAAGUUUAUCGAUAAGGACUCCAAAGAAUAGCUUCUUUACCUUUGUCCAGUCCCAGCUAGUUUCCAAUGAGAUACCAUUGAAAGAAAGGAAGUUUGCAUAUAACCGCAAUGGAAUACUCUUCAGUAGAUAUACCUAAAGUUCCCAAAUCAUAUACCCAAAAACCCGUAAAGUUAAAAAGGAUUGUGAAGAGUUUCAUCUUCCAGUACAUUCAGGGGACUUUAAUGUAUAGAAGGUGAUGUGAACUUACCCCAGCAUAAGCUGCUGCUUUGGGUAAAGUUGCCAAGUUUCCUGUACCUUCUGCGUAAACGCUUGCGUCCAUUAAAACCAAGGACUCAACCUGAAUAAUUCAUCAUAUUGGUCAAAUUAUCUUGAACAAGUUUGCAAGUAAACCUCUUGUUGGGAAAUAAUGAAGCUCCUUAAUGUUUAUAUAAGUACCGCUUCUGGAUGAUUGACCGCAAUGUCUACUGCAACAGCAGCACCGAGGCUCGGCCCAACCAAAACCACAGGCCUUUUAAUAUGAGACUUCCAAAACUACGGAUCAUACAAGGAUGGACAAAUCAAUUCACACUUGGAAAACAGAGAAAGCCACACAAGUAAAGAAAAUGACUACAAACCUUGUAAAAAUGCUCUCUUUUAGACGCUACAUCACACGGUGGAAGUUUCCCUUUUGAAAACAGAGGAGCAAGAAACAAAUAAGCCCGUAAGUAAGAUAACUGUUGGCAAGUUUGGAGAAACAAAUAAAAGGGGAAAGGAAGGAAAAGAUAAGAGAAGACCAGAAGGGAACACCUAAAUCAGAAAAACCCCAACCAAGGAUAUCAAAUGCCCAAGUUUCUAAACCGGCUUCUUCGAGCAAUGGAUAAGUGUAUCUCCACUCUAAACAAGAACUGUUUACAAGUGUUUUAAACUCAAGAUACUAACUCAAGACAUAUUACAGCAUUUUGAUUAGUACCUAUCAAAUCCGUGCAGGAGCACUACAGGACUUGUCUCAUUCCGCAUAAGCGGCGUCACACAACUGCUCAUGAUUCUAUCUUCCGCGAAGCUUACCUACACAUUGCCACAGUACAUGACAAUGUUAAAAGAUAUCAUGCUUCUACAGGUUGGAGAUUCUUAGAUUGCUUGAAAUGUUUAUAUGCUCACUUGAAAGUAACAGAUGAUUUGCACAUCACAUGCAAAAGACCUACAGACUAGAGGUUCUUGAUUCUUACACUGCUUUAAAUGUUUACCCUCACUUGACUUGAAAGUAAGAUCAAAAACUUGAAUUUAAGACAUUAAAGUCAAUCAGUCAAAUGUGUGUCAUGACCCAGUUGCAGCUAGUUGAGAAGCUCAAAUUCUUUGGAACAUACUUUCGACCAAAUAAAAAUUGAAAUAAACAUGGAGGAUGGAAAUUACUUGUACGGGAAGCCUCUCGAUUCUGGCGGCGAGCUUUAGAGCAAACGUGUCUUUGAUUCUCUCAACAUCGCUCGGUAGAAACGUCGGAAAUUUCUCCGCCGUCACCGUGAGUGACCUUUUCAUUUUACUUUCCACCUUAAAAUUCGGCGGCCGUCCCGUCGCCGUCGCCGCUAACAGCAUCGCUGAGCUUCUUGCUCAGUCUGCCACGACGAGCGGUUGGUACUUGAUAGAGAAGAUAUCACACGUGGCAAGUAAGACAAUUGAUCGAAGGAGUUGAAACGCUGUCGUUUAACUGUGAAGAAGAAUCACAGCCAGACAAAAGAUUUCUAAAUAAAAGUCAACUCAUAGUUUUGACCCAUCAAAAGUCAACAUAUUUAGUAACCGGCAAUCAAGUAAGUGUGGUCCUCUUUGUUUCACAAAAUGGAAUACCAAAAAGUUACUCGGUAAAAGUUACAAGAGCUGGUCUUAGACAAGUGUAAUAGACAAAAAACUUUGAGAAGCAUUAACCAAAAAGAACCCAUAUUCUGAUGUAACACAACAAAAAAACAUAGAAUACACAAUGUAAUAAUAUGUAUUUGGCUCAUCAAAAGAGAUUGAUUUAAUGUUUACAAAACUGAACUAAGCAAGAUACGAAAUCAAUCUACAAGCUUCCCUUGGAUUUCAUAGAACAAACGGUUGGAGUCUCGGCUGAUUCUCUCAGCUCCACGCAUGAUCUUCUUACAAUCUUCAUGCAACUUCUUAGGCAUGAACUCUCUCAGCUUCAUUUGAGGGUCUUUUAUAUCGAAAUUAUUGUAUACCUCUCUUGCAGGCAAAACAUGCUUGUGCCAAAAAUCAACCAGUGCCGGUUUCAUAUCCUCCCAAAACUCGGUAUCUCGCCAAACUCUGAAGAGGCUGCUUCCAUUGCGAGUCCAGCUAUACAGAUCCAACCAAUCUCUAUCCACAAUCUCCAUCAAACCCUGAAGCUGUGGGACACAUUGCCAGUGAACCUUCUUCCACGGAUACACUUCCGCUUUGUUAUCCCUGUAAAAUGGGCAUUUCACUUCUAACACGCCACUUGAAGUUACUCCGUCUUCUUUAACCACAUUGAUCAAUCCAUCAGGAGAAGCUCCUAACCAGUUUUCUUCAGGGUCUUCACCGUUCUUGUACACCACGAACUCAGGCAUGAGGAUCUCGUUCCCCGUUAACUCCUUGUAUCUCUUGAGUGCUUCAACUUCAUUGCUAGCGUCCCAAAACGUGGCUUGGUUUCCAGAGAACUGCUUAGCUACCCCGAUUUUCUCUAACCAAAGCUCUCGUCUACCCUCAGGCCAAAACCCAAUAGCAUGUGAGAAAUUACUAGCCGUUAGCCUAUUCUUCCUCAGAUCUUGCCAAUUCUUGCGCCAAUGUUGCUGGGAUGUUUCAGUAACCGGUGCUUCUUUCUUUGAAACUAUACUAAUGAUUUCGGAAAUUACCUUUGAAUCAGGCUCUGGUUCGUUAUACGGAAUGUGCAACAAGCGGUGACAGAAAGCUAGAUCAUCACUGCCAUGAAAAUAAUCGAAAGAGGUGUCAAGAAGAAGAAUCAAAAGUUAAUCAUUUCCCCCAAAUCGAUAUAUAGAUAAUUACGAGCAAGCAAAACAAAAUUGAAGCAGCUAUAUCAGACAAAAGUACUGGAGAAGAGAGAAUAGAGAUAGCAAAACUGACCGUGCGCGCUUGUAAAAGGUACGACGAAGCAUAUCGGCGACGGCACACCGGCGUUGGAUAGACGACACUCGAUUCUGAAGGGUUUAGACAGGAAGCGACGACUCUGUCGGUAAUAAAAGUCAUAACGAGGCUUACUGGCCCAAACAUUUUAUGGGUCAGACUAAAUUAGUUGGGUAGGCCGUAUCAGUCCAAACCUUUUCACUUCGGUUUGAAAUCGGAUUGAUUCGGUUACAUUCGGUAUAAUGAAUUCGAUUCGAUUAUUUCGUUUCGGGUGUUUUUUUUUAGUUCGUUGGUUUAAAAAUUAAAUAAUGAUACCUUAUGGUUCGGUUCGGUUCGAUUUAUGUGCCCCCUACUGUAAAACCCUCCGACAUGGUGUGAAAAUCUUUGAAGCUACUCGUCGUCGGAUUCUCUUUGUCGGAAAAUCUCUUCUCAACUAGUCUCUUCUGGUUGUUUCACCAGCCGCCACAGGAUCGGCGGGAAGUAUUUCAUGCGGGUGUUUACGGUUCCAUUACUCUCACAUUUGAGAGGAUUAAUUCGAAGAGCACCCAAUUCGCGAUUCUACGCGGUUCCUGCACUUGCCUGGACGAACCCGAAAAUCUCACACUCGGAGCAAGAGAAAGAAGGUAACUUUGAUGGUAAAGCAUUGGAAUUGAACGAAGUUGGAGUUUUGCGAGUUUUGACUAGUAUGAGGGAUGAUCCUUAUCUUGCUUUGGCGUUUCUGAAACGAAUUGAAGGAAAUGGGGCUUUGCCUAGUGUCCAAGCUUAUGCAACUGUUAUCAGAAUUGUUUGUAGUUGGAGUUUGGAUGAGAAAUUGGGUCCGUUUUUUAUGAAGCUCGUUAGAAAAGGAGACGAGGGUCGUGGUUUCAGUGUCAUGGAUUUGUUAAAUGCCAUUGGAGAAGCAGAAGAGGAUGAGAAAGUGUCGUUUCUGUUACUAAGUAGGGUCUCUAGUGCCUUGGUUAAAGCCUAUGCUAACCUUGAAAUGUUUGACGAAGCUAUCCAUCUUUUCUGGAAGAUGGAGAGGCUGGGUUUGGAUGCGGAUGCACAUACUAAUGUUGUUGUUGUUCAAGCAUUGCAUAGAAACGAGGAUAUAAGAGGAGUAGAGAAGUUUCUUAACAAGUUGUUAAGCUCAGAGACGAGGAAUCCUCGCGUGUUUUAUAUGAAUUUCAUUGAAGGGCUUUGUUUAAAUCAGAUGGCGGGUAUAGCUUAUAUUCUACUCCAACCACUGAGGGUUGCAAAUAUUCUUGUGGAUAUUAGAGAUCUCGCAAUAGCGUAUCGCAAAGUGGUCCGGGGGUUAUGUAAUGAGAUGAAAAUAGAAGACGCUGAAAGUGCUCUUCUUGACAUGGAGGAAUGUGGGAUUGAUCCGGAUGUGUAUGUUCACUCGGCGAUAAUUGAAGGACAUCGCAAGAACAUGAAUAUACCUAAAGCUUUGGACUUUUUCAAUAAGAUGGUGCAGAGAAAAAGAAGAAUAAACUGUGUGAUUGCAAGCUCAAUCCUUCAGUGCGUUAGUCAGAUGGGCAUGUUCUCGAAAGCUUAUCAUCUGUUUAUAGAGUUUAGAGAGAAGAACGUUUCUCUUGAUAGGGUUUGCUACAAUGUCGCGUUUGAUGCUUUGGUAAAGCUUGGCAAAGUUGAAGAAGCUAUCAAGUUGUUCCGAGAGAUGACUGGUGAACAAGGUAUAGCUCCUGACGUCGUCAACUACACGACUUUGAUAGGUGGUUGCUGUCUACAUGGAAAGAUUCACGAUGCUCAUGAUUUGAUGAUUGAAAUGGAAGAAAGAGGUAAAACACCUGAUGUUGUUACAUACAACGUACUUGCCGGUGGAUUAGCUAGGUAUGGUUAUGUAGACGAGGCAUUUGAAAUUUUAAAAGCAAUGGAAGCUCAGGGUGUAAAGCCUACUUCCGUUACACACAAGAUGGUCAUCCAAGGCCUGAUUGUUGCAGGUAAAACAGACGAGGCGGAAGCUUUCUAUGAGAGUUUGGGACAUGAAAAAUCUCUGGAAAAUGAGGCAAGUAUGGUAAAAGGUUAUUGCGAAGCUGGUCUUCUUGAUCAGGCCUUCGAACGAUUCAUUAGAGUGGACUUUCCUCUGCCCAAGAAUGUGUUUUUCACACUAUUCACUAGUCUUUGCGCCGCCAACGAUAAAGAUCACAUCGGCAAAGCUGAAUACUUACUGGAUAGAAUGUCCCAACUAAUUGGAGUUGAACCUGGCAAGUGCAUGUUUGGGAAAUUGAUUGGCGCUUGGUGUCGAGUUGACAAGGUGAGAAAAGCCAGGAAGAAAUUCAAAGUUCUAGUAUCUUGUAAAAAGAUAAUCCCUGAUGUGUACACUUACACAACCAUGAUCAACGCGUAUUGCCGGAAAGACGAGCUCAAGGAAGCCUAUGCUCUUUUUCAAGAGAUGAAGCAGAGGAGAAUCAUUCCUGAUGUGGUAACAUACACAGUUUUGCUCCAUCACAAUCCAAAGUGGGAUAUGAAGAGGGAAAUGAAAGCCCUUGGCAUUAAACGAGACGUUCACUACUACACGGUUUUGAUUGAUCGGCAUUGCAAGACUGGAGAACUUGAAGACGCGGAAAGGAUCUUUGGUGAAAUGAUUGAAAGUGGGGUGGAGCCUGAUGCUGCUCCUUACACAGCACUAAUAGCUCGUUGUUGUCGGGAUGGAUAUUGUAAAGAGGCAAAAAGGAUCUUUGAUCUAAUGAUUGAAAGCGGGAUAAAGCCUGAUCUUGUGUCUUACACAACACUAAUAGCUCGUUGUUGUAGGGAUGGAUAUCUUAAAGAGGGAAAAAGGAUCUUUGAUCUAAUGAGUGAAAACGGGAUAAAGCCUGAUCUUGUGUCUUACACAGCACUAAUAGCUGGUUGUUAUAGGAAUGGAUCUGUACUUACCGCGGAAAAAUUGAUGCAAGAAAUGUUAGACAAGGGGAUUAAGCCAACUAAUGUAUUCCUGUCUGCAGUACACCAUGCUAAAUAUAAGUCCAAGAGACUCCAAUCUCGAGAGUGAUCAAAGAAUGUAUGAAGAGCCUAUAUUUAAAAAGCUCAGGUGAGGUUGUGGUAACACAACUAUUGGUCAUGAGAACAGAGUUUUUUGUCAGCUGACAAGGAAACUGGGAUUCUGCAUCAGCGUAAAUAAGGAUGUGAGCUCACUGUUCAUGUAAAUUCACUUCUUUGCUUCUUCUGCUAUUCUCCAACCGUUCUUUCCUAUCGUUCCUUUGGUUUAUACAGUGAUACAAGUUUUUUCAGGGCUUGAUUUCUUGGGAACGGAACUUGUAGAGCCAGGAACGGAAAAGAGACAAAUACGGGACCAAAGCUUUUCUAAUGGAGCUUGAGAACAGAGGAACCAUAAAGGUAGAAACUCUGCUUAUCAUGAAGCAUUUGGUACCUAGAUUUUAUACGGUUUGAUGUUAUACAUUUAGUGAGUUAUGUUUUUUCUAUUAAUUUACUUAAUCAAUAUUUUGCAAUAAACUCACCUAAUUCACGACACUACCUCUGCAGGAGUCAAGGUAAAGCACGAUAACCGGACUGGAAAUAACCUCGCCAAGAGUAAAUAUGAGGAUUUUCAAAGCUCUUUGUGAACGCUGCAUUUUCUAAUUGUGUCUUCACAACACAAGAAGUGAUCUCCAGAAAGCCUCACGAGGAUAAUUGUAACAAGUAAAAUGUUGUGUUAUAUACAAGCAUGUAUGUAAUAAGAAAAUAUUAUAGUAAACUGUAAAUCAUAUAAGAUCUUUGAUUUAGUAUUAUGCACAUAAAAUUCUUUUGUAAUCAACGGUCCAAAACCGAAUCACAACUUCGGUUCAAUAUGAUUACUUCUUCUGUAUUCUUUUAUAACCGAACAGCCAAUUAAACUCCCACAAGUAGUUCUGUGAUAUUGAUGUAGCCGUAUAGAUAAGUGAGAGGAAUUCGUAUCUGACUGGGAAGAAAGUCAUAAACCAAGUACAUAAAUUGAUAUCUGUGUCCAAGAUCUCACCUUAAUAACUCUACUGUUAGUGGUCAUAAUCAUAAAAUCUCACCAAGUCUCAAUUAAUAUCAACUACUCGAGACGAUUAAGUUUUAGUUUUAGAAAUGAGAUUCUUCCGUUAUUUUGUUAUCUACGCUUAGGCUUGGGUUUCUUCUGUUUCCACAAGUUGAGCAGAUAAACCACUCCUUCCUUGAGAGUCGCUUUUCUUCCUUCUUUAAAAUUCCAAAGCUCGGGCACUAUGUACCUUCCACUUCCAUUAUACUCGUUCCUUUCUAGAAGCGCUUGUGUAACGGCUUCAAACACUUCUUCCCCCAUCUCUUUCCUCAGUUCUUGCAGCUUCUCAUCUUCUUCAUUUAGUACCUCCUGCAAAAACAAAAAAAGAAAUUGGUUUCUCUCAUGUUUUUAGAUUGCAGGAGCUAUUAUAUAUCAUCUAAGAGCAUUGUCUAAGAGAGAGAGAGAGAGAGAGAAAAAAAAGAAGAAGAGGUGUAUGUAUUGUUACCUUGGGGGUUUUUCCGUCUUUUACGAUGACCUUAAUCGGAUGCCAAGCCGAGUCUCUCAAGAGGUCGUCCCACGAGGACCAAAGCUUGUCAGCUUUUUCAACAGCUUCUUCAGGUGGAUAUUUCUCUUUAGCUAUUUUUUGGAAUGGUUUAAUAUCCAAUUCUCCCAUUCCCUUCACACCGAUCGGACCACGAACUGCCAACCCUUGCAUUGACUGCACACAGCUUGAGCAUGUUAGUAGCAGGUAUCAGAGCAUAAAAUGGCAUAAUCACUUCCACUCUCCUCUGAGUGUUCCUAUCACGAGCUACCAGGCAUAAACAUGUUGCAAUAGUGCAGCCUCUCACACUAGAUCAGCGAACAAAUGUUCAUGAAGCUGAAUUCCAAAGAACAAACCCGCAUAGGAAGAAGGGCAGAGAGAUGGAAAGGCUGAGAAUUGCUUACUUUGAUCAAAGCCUUGCGCGCAUCCUGAAGCUCAUCGUUAGUGUAGCCAUGUCUUACAACAAGAGCUUGAGACUGACUCUUGGAAAUCUGCCUCCUCUUCUUUCUCCUUCAGUUUUUCCUUUGUCUUUUCUAUCUCUUUUUCUAACUUUUCCUUCGUCUCAGGAUCUUCCCCUUCUUGCAUGCGUCCCAUGACCUGCAGGUCACCCCUCAUACGCUCUAUUUCCAGCUCCAAUGCCUGCUCAUCAUCGACUUUUUUCUCCAGUUCACGGACUUUCUUACGUAAUUCAUCUUUCUCCCUCUGUAAAACAACAGCCAGCUUUAUAACUAUGGCCAGAAAUAAUCUGACAGCUUUUAAAGUGUAUAAUUAUUCAUACAAGCAAAAGCGUACCUGUUGCUGCUCUGCCAAUCUCAUCAUGUCUUCAUCAACUUUGUUUUGCUCUUGAGUAGCCAUUAAGUUCUGACAAGGAAAUUAAAAGAUUUCACGAAUCACUACUGCUAAGAUUAAGGUAGUUUCAGGGUAAUUUUGUCCAACGGAUGUGAUUGUUACCUUCUGUUUUUGCCAUUGAAGCUUUCUUCGCUCUAACUUAUUCACUGCUUGACACUUAUCAAGAUAUUUCUCUCGCUCUUCAUAUUCUAUCCUUUGAGCUUCCAGACGCCGGGAGGCCAGUUCAUGUUCUUCGUGAAUACUGGCCAAAUAUUCACGCGCCGCUUGCUGCAUACUAUUCAUUUCUAAUCAUUGAAAAGUAAACUAAUAAGUUCCCAAAAUACUAGUCAACCACAUCAAUCAGGCAAAAAUUAAUUUCAUCGUAAGAUCACUUACUUUCGUUAUGUGUGUUGAUCAUUUCAUCCUUCUCUCUCAUCAUUUUCUCAAGCUUUGUACUGGUUUCAUUGUAUUUGCUCUCCAUUUGUUGAAGGCUGGUGCUUUUGGUCUCCAGUGUGUUUUCCAAGUUUGAGACAAGCGUCAAUGUCUUUCUUUGGUCUUCGGCCUCUUUACCAGAAACACUCUUCAAGUCCCCUUUCUUCCUAAGGUUGUCACCAAAAAUUCUCGAAUGGAACUCUGCCUCUUUUGCUAUCCAACCAUAAAGUUUAUCACCUCGAUCACGAGGCCCAGUCGCAUCAUAGUCUUUCUUCCCACACUGAUUGACUUCGAAAUAUUUGUCAAACAUGGUCGCAUUUCUGAAGCCGUCCCACUCUUUACCAAAGGAAACAAUAGCAAAACCGGUAUUACCAACUCGGUAGUUCCACACUGUGUCAACUUUGAGGGGAUUAAACCCUUUGCUGAUCAAUUCUUCCUUUAACUUGUUUCCACUCUCACCAACAUACCUCUUUUGUUUUUCAUCAUAGGUUCUCCUGGUGUUCGCCAAGAUCCCUUUCCAGGGAUACACAAACAUCGUAUCCCCGUUACCAGCACCCAAAGAAUCAUGCCUCUGAGCAAACCUAGCACCAUGGCUGAGACCAAUCUGUUGGACAGGUUCUUCUCCCUCUUUAGCAGCAGCAAUGAGGCGGGGUCUUUUGGGAAGGAAUGUUUCGUCUUCGUAGCUUAAGGAGGAGUUGGGUUUAGGAGAAAACAUUGGUCUUUCUUUGCCACUUGGUCCAGGAUCAUUUCCUGAGACAGACUUUGGUUCAGCUAUAGAAAUCCAUGGUGAACUGGAUUUCUCAACGCCAUUCAGUUCCCCUGCUGCAGAACUACCUUUCCAAUUCCCGGUUAACUCAUCUUCAGGACGAGAAGAGACAUCUGAUGUUGCAGUAGGAUCCCGAGGCCGGAGGUACUUCCUCAUGUAUCUCUCAAGUGCGAGAUGUCUGGCUUUUUCUCGCGCAUCCUUGGUAUGGGAACAACCGCUGAUAACAGAAGAAGCAUGACGACGCAAGUCCUCAAACCGGUAGUCACGCUUUCGAUCUCUGUAGCAGAAGGGACAUCUGAACAAAGACUCUGAAACUUUGACCUUCCGAGUGCCAUCUUUCAUUUCACUGUAGUAUCUAUACUCCAAAUCAUCUAGCUCUGCUCUGGUAUACAUUGCAACCUAGAACCAGAAAACGUUUACACAGUAAAGCUACAAGAAAGCAAAUGAAAGUGGUACGAACAACGAAUUCUAUUUGUGGUGUGUAGACCCUAAUCGCUGAACCCUAAACCUGAAAUUGACUCACCCAAUUCCAGAAACCUACUAAAAUCUAAAGCAGUGUUCUUUAGGAAACAUGGACGAAGAACAUGAGUAAGCAAAACGACCCAGAAAAUCAUCCAGUAAAUUACAAAGACACGAAAUUUAGUGAGACGGAGAUUAGAACACAAAACCCUAACUUUAUCCAACGGCAUUUCUCAAACCAAAUAGAGAAGAUCAGAAGAAGAUGAAGAUAGAACACCAAACCCGAAGAAAAGAGACCUAAAAUGGAGACAGAUAAAGCAACUAAACAAAAUGGCACACAUUGGAGAAUUUCGCGGAAACAGCUUAAGAGUUUCUUUUCGCAAAUGUCUGUAAAUACGACGAACUGUAUAGAAACAAGCGGAGGAGAAGAAGCAAAACCUUUCGUGAGCGAAGAGAAUGGCGAGGACUCUCCUUCGAGCAGGUGAGAGAGAUACACGCAAACCUUUGACUGGAAAGGAACAAGUGAAGACGAGAAAUAAAAUGCAGAAACAAACAAACAAACGUCGAUUGUGUUUCCUCUUUGUAUAGUCAUCUCGUAAAUCUAUGCCAUUUUUAGCUACGUGCUUGCAUAGGAAUGGUCUUUUAGACCGAACCGAACCGGAAUAAACCAAUCACAUAACUAUUUAAACCGAAAAAUUGAAUUGAAAUUUGUGUAUACUGUACUACUAGCUUGAUGCCUUGGUUGGCUCCAUCUCUAAUAAUCGAAUUGAAAUUGAACAGAGCCCAACCGAUGAAAAAUAAAAUAAAAAAUCAUUUUAACAGACAAAACCAAACCGAAUUUGCUCCGAGGAAAACGUAAAAAAAGGUUACAACGUAAAAAUGAUAUCAACAGAGUUCCCAAUCAAGGAUAAUUCGACAGCUUGGAGAACGUUUUGUGACUUUACAAAGCUCCUCGUAGAUUUCCGAGUCCGAAACAUAUCGAGGAUAAUCUGUGACACUCAGAAUGAGUUUCUUGAGGACUGCUGCGUUUUCAAGAAAGUAAGUGGCUACUUUCAUCUCCUUUUCCUCCCAUUCAUGAACUCUUUUAAUCUCAACACACUCAAGAGUCGAUAAGAAACAUCGAGGCACAUCUCUCAGUUCGAAUACCUCAUUCUCCUCUGUAUAAACAACCGUCUGCAAAACACACACAACAAACAAAAAAAAAGGGGUGAGUUUUUCAAUAAUACAGAUACACAAAACCGAAGUGCAUGUUAUUUAAGCCAAAAUCUCCAACAGGUUUUACCAAAGUUAGGUGUUUCAGAUUCGGGCAACUCUCAAGUAAGGCAGGCAAAACCUGUAACAAGUCACCCGGAAACUCAGCUUCUAAACGGUGUAAGUUAUUGAAUUUGGGAAUCAUUCCUCCUUUUGAGUAAAGAGUAAGUGCCUGCAACAAAAAGAAAAGCAAAAAGGAUAUACAAGUGAGAGGUUUCAAAUUAGACAAAGUCCACAGAUUGUUGUAUGUAUACACAUAUACCUUCACUGUUUUCGUAGAGAUGAUCAUAUGUCCUACACGCGAUAUCCCAGUGAGAAAAUCACGGAUUUCUUUCCUCUUUGAUAAGUCCCCGGGACUAAAAAACGUGCCAAACUUGACAAGAAAUUUGACAUCAAGAUCAACCAUGAACAAAGAAGUCAGGUUCUUUACCACAAUUCUAUCAAAAUGGUCUUCUCGGAGACUCAUAUGCUCUAGCCCUGGAGCAUCAAUCUCAAGCGUGAAGUCCCCUCUCGAAUCGCAUCCGUCCCUGCUGAGCGGAACUAUAAACCUCUUCAGGCUCCAAGAUUUCACACGCAAAAACGGAUCAUCAUGAUCCUGAAAAUUACCAUCUAUAUCUCUCAACAAGGUCAGCUCUUCAAGUACAGGACAUCCCAAGAUGAUUUUCUCCAGAUUCUCAUUAGCACGAAGCUGAACUUGUUCAAAGGUGAUGGAUUUGAGACAAGGCAUAGAGACAAAACCAGGAUCCUCAAGACCCGAAUAAGACAGCUUCAAGGAAACCAAAGUCUUGCUCGUGUAGAGAUUCAGAGGCAUGUACUCGACACAAGGAUAGAGAAGUGUGUCAGGAUCUACAUAAAAGGUACUGCUUUCAACAUCUAGAUGUUGAGUUCCCCGGUUAAUAGCUUCACCGAUCCGGUCCUGGAUCCCGAAUAUCUCCUCGGUCAUGCACUUGAUCUUGACUUUUGGCAGGCGUGACUGGUUAAUCUCGAGAAAUUUGUCAAUGAAGCUGAAGAACACUUGGUUAUUCUUAUAAGGGAAAUCAGAGCAGUCUAUGUCAAGCACGGGAACAUUUAGCCACAGAUUUUUCCAUCUGGUCGCUAAAACGCUCGUCUUCACCGAAUCUUUAGUCGGAAGGUAUGAUAGUAUUUGAGUAAGCAAAAAUUCCGGCAAUUCGCUGAUUCUAUCGAACCCAGGCAUCACGAGACUAAACACAUGAACAAACAACCACAACAAGAGGAUAAAUAAAUGGGUCUCGAUCGAAUCCUAAGGCGAUGAGUUUCUCAAAUUAAAUCAGGUAUGUAAACGAAAGAACUCACCGUGGAUUUGAUUCGCCGGCGGGUGGAUUAUCCGGCCACAGUGACCGAUAUUGAGAGAGAAGAGUGGUGAUUUUUGUGUGUAUGAAAUGAAAGGAAUCGUUUAGUAUUUAUACGUUUGAAGUGGUUCCGAUUCCAUUUUCACAGAGCGUUUAGAAAAUAAAAGGCUGCCAUUAUUAUCGAUUAAUGCAAAAAUCGGUUAGUUUUGUAGUAAUCGAUUAAGAAUAUUUUAGGAAAUUUUCCAAAAUGAUUGAUUUAUUUUUUUGGAGAUUUGAUAUCUUUUUCUUUCUUUUGGUCAAAGGAGAUUUGAUAUCUAAACAAUCUUCCAAAAAUCUUUUUUUAUUUUGUUAAUUAUAAAACCAAACGAAAAAGGAAAAACGAUGAUUAAGAUUCGGUUAAGAAAUUGCACUUAAUAUUAAGAUUUUAUUGGUAACAAUUGAGGAGAGUUGGUAUCACCAUACUUGAGAGCUCACACUGAUGAAAUCUAUAGAUAGAAAUCCUUCAAAAAGCAUAUGAUCCAAAUUGGUACUAAUGGAAACCAAGAACUAACAUGUUUUGCCCGAAAGCGAUAAAGCUCAGUCAAUCUUGGCACCCGAAGAGUGAGAUAACCAGUUUGCUCUCCAAGUAAUGGAAGGAGAAAGAAGACGCUCUGUUUUCCAACCUCCUGAUCUCAGCUUCAUAAAGAGGAGAGAACGAAAAAACAAGAAAAAGAGUGAAACAUCAAAAGUUAACACAGUUGAUUUCACGUUGUAAUGAUCUAAUCUAAUAUACCUUGUUGAGAAACUCGUCAUAGUGUUUAUCCAUCCAAGCUUCUCCUUGUGGAUAAAAAGCUGUGGUUUCUUCCAUAACGUUUGCCAUAACAAUCGCGUGAAUAUAUGAUUUCAACACAUCUGCAGCCGCUGAGUCUUUGUGCAAGAUCACACUAACACUUCCCUUUCUAUGUGCCAAUAAGUACUUAGCUGCGGGAGUGUGCAAUAGACAAGAACAGCGAGUUUACCCCCAAAACCAAACGUUUCCAAAUAUCAUUACAGAGCAGAAAAAGUCCAAGGGAAAGAAAAUCAAUCAAACCAUUCUUAUGAGAAGAAGCUCCAACACCAUUUAGGAGCUGCAUCCUGCAAAUAAAUUUGUCAACCUCACACAGAUCAUUUCCCUUAAAGCUGAGAUAAUCUCAGUUUCUUACAGACCGUGAUUUGUAGUGAUUCAAGUAUAUAACUUACAUAUCUGGACGAGGGAGAGAAGAAACUUUCACACCUAAGUGCACUCUCUUAUGCAAUGGGUUUGAAAUAGUUGACCUCAAUGAAGUAGCCCACACGGGCAACACACCCUCCAUUGAAGAAACCUGUUCGGGAGAGAGAACUGGCGACAUGUUUAGUUAAAGAAAGUUACUGAUAUAUAAUGCAAUGAUAAAGAGGAACCAAUAUAAAAACAAAGGGAAGCUAUUAAAACGUUCUAAGAAUCAAUGAUGCAUUUUUGAAAUUACCUUGGCCAGUUUGCAUGAAAUGUGCUAGAAGAAUCGAACUCCUCUCCAUGUUUAACGAAUUCAAUACAAGACACCGGACAGCUCUAUAGUUUGCUAGAUAUUUAAGAAAGGUUUAAUGAGAAAAGUUAGAGAAAUCCUGAUUUGAACUAGGCUUUAACCUUCAUCUGUAACUUACCAUACAUAUGAAACACGGUGAGAGAGAGAAACGAAAACCAAAUAGCCAAAGGGUUUCCAGAGGUAAACCGAGCUAGCAACAUUCCCAAUGACAUGCCCAUCAUCGUUGCCAUAGUCUCUUGGCUUCCUUCCUUUCAAUAGAUAGACAGACAAGAAAUCAAACUACUAAAAAAUUUCACAUUUUUAAGUUUCUUAAUCAUUCACAGUGAAAAGAAGUUAAGAAUACCUUUGCAGAUAUAUCGGCUGCAUUGUCUUGGAGGGCAAAGUGCUGAGUUAGAGCUGCUCUGGUUGCUCCACUUGCAACACCAGCUAAUUCAAUUAACGGAGAUCGAAAAAAAAUGUUAAAGAUCGAUAUGUCAGCUACAGUGAAAGCCGUAAGUUCUAUGUUUGAUGCAGGUGGUGAAACUUACUAAAUGAUCUUGAUAGGCUCCCUAAGCAAACCACAAUGAUAAAAGCAGAUGGAAACAGAGGGGAAAGAAGGUCCAUUAGCAUUCCUGCAACAAUCGCAACAAAAGCUUUUUAGUCAUUCAAAGUCUCUGAGAACCAAAUACAGUAUAUUUAUUUCAAGAGUGGAUGUGGCAACUAACUAUUAUUGUACUGAUGUAUUGAAAAAUAAAGAACAAAAGAACAUACCGAUAUCGUUCAUCAAGUCAGCAACUAGACGCCACAUUUUUGCAUUACUAUCCAGGUUGGAACCCUGAAGAACAGAAAAAUCAGAUAGUUCUCAUAUUGCAUUAGAUAUUGAUGCUCAGAAAACAAAAGAGAAUCAAUUAUUGGUAAUAAAACAGCAAAGUUCUCACACAACAUAAAAAAAACAACGAAACCAGGCUAAAUUUGAAGAAGAAGAAAACGUAAGAGAAAUUUAAGGUAUAUGAUUUGGCAGUAUCUACGAUAUAAACACCUGAUAGAAUGUGAACAAUAUGCCUCCAAGCAUCCCAGAAAAAUCUCUCAGAAACCACUGCAUAUUACAAACAAGAUAUAAUCACUAUAAUCCAUAGUGCUUGAGAGGGCCAAUGAGUUCCAAAGUAGGAGAAAUAUGUUAUAUUUCAGCACCAACAAAACUCACCUGAAAUGUCGCACCUAUAACUGUUGCGGAUUUCUCACCAACCCCAAUUGCACUCAAAAGAGCCUGACAAGUACUCAAAAUCAGAAAUGCUACAGCAGACAAAUUAAAGAACUCAAAAGUCCAAAACUUGAUCUCACCUGAGUGGAAAGCAUCAUCUUUAUAUAAGUUGAUAGCCCCUGCAAGAAAGAAAAAAAAACAUACUGAAAUCCCAAAUUCAAAGACAAAUCAAGUUUGACAGUUGCCAUAAGGCAUACAAGCAUAUUAUCUCACAUAUACCUGUAACGUGUCCCAUAAUUGAAACCCUACAUAAUCCGGAGUAACACUACCAGGAAAACCCUGCAUUGAGCAAAGCAAAACCCAUUUGCCUCAGUGACCUUAAAAACGAGGCUAGAGGGAAAACAGAAAGAAAGAAAUCACUUGCCUCCGGUACAAAUGCUUGAAGAACUCGUCUCCAUACAUGGUUGAAGCGAUUAGCAGACCUAUGAUGAAUUACCCGCAGGAGAAAAAAUCUUAAAUUUGUAGAGGCUUCACUCGAAGCAACCAGAUUUGGAUUGAAAUAGAGGAAGAAAGGGAAGACCUUCGGAUGGAGAGAGAAGGGGAGGCAGUGAUGGUUGCUGUUCUGAAAAGCUUAGUAGAAGAAGAACCAUUCCACUCUUCGAGUGUAAUUGAUGCGCAAUCAGUGAGUUCUUCUUCUCCCAUGGCGAAUUUUGGCUUCUUACCGAAGAUGUUGCAAGAAAGAAUAUGAAUUUUUAAUUGACUUUCAAAUGUUUAGACUUUUUUUUAGUAUAGGUGCUCUGGGUUUGGGUUUCAAUUGCGACUGAACUAGAAAUGACCCAAUUGCUCUUUUCAACUAACCUCUUUACGCAAAAUCAGUCUAAUUUUAAAAGAAGGAUCGAUCGUUGGAGACAACUUACAAACACUCCUCACUGAUAAUUUGAUUACCCCAAUGCUUAACAGAUUCCAUUUGCAACUAUAAAUACACAUAUAGUUUCCACACUAACACCAAUUAUCUCGUCACUUAAAGUUACCGUCUUUCAUUUUCUUCUAUAGUUGCCUCUGUUAAUUUCUUUUCAUUGUGGUCACUGGUAAUGUUUCAUCCUGUUUUGAAUCCAUUUGCUAGGUUUUGAUCAUCAUUCACCAACUUUAUCGAUGUUGUUUCAUAUAAAUUUAUCUCUAUAACACAGUUGGUAUACUUGUAUCAUAUCAAGUUUUGUCGUCAACCAAUUUACCAUAUUCACAUCUUCUGUACAUGUGGUUCUUUUGCUCUUUAUUGUUUCGUAACAUAUCUUUGGAUAUUGUUGUCAACCAAUAUAUCAUAUUCAUCUUCUGUACAUGUGGUUCUUUUGCUCUUUAUUGUUUGGUAACAUAUUGGACAUUUGUUUCAAACUCUUCUUGUGAGACAUGGAAAAACUCUUUGCUAUCUUGAUGAAAACUCUUUGCUAACUUGAUGACUAUCAUAUAAGCUCUUGGAGCAAUUGUAGAGGAAUAAUCUCAUCGAGACGACAAAACGAACCUUUAUGAGGAAUUGCUAUCCAUAAGACAACAUUUUAUCCCAAUGAAAAAGCUUAUGUCAAAGCCUUUCCAACAGUUCGUAGAACUAAUGUAAACCGUUCUCUAUUGAUAUCAGAAACAUAUCCAGACUCUUUAUUAACCACCGUUGAUUUAACUUCAUUCCAUAUUUUCAGGGUCAAGAACGCUAGUGGUGUUGGUUGAAUGUAGUUCUCAGCAUCCAUCAAAUGAUAAUUAGAUCGGAGUAUUUUCUUUUGCAGAUUACAAAAAUAUAUCAAAACUUCUUGUUAAUAGCUUAUUCAAAUCUUAAGUUAAAAAUUCUUUUCUAAUUUUUUUUUUUGCAUAAUUUCAUUACACUUUUAUUAUUAAGCAUAAAUUAGGUAUAAAUUGAACAUAAAUUUGGCAUAAAUUAGGCAUAAAUUUUCCAGUUGUGUGCAUUCAUCUAGAAUAACGAAUAUUAGUUUAUAUUUUCUCCUUUUUUGGACAAGAUUAUCUCCAACGUGUUGUAAUCUUUGGAGACAUGGGAAAGAUUUAAUUUAGAACUGUCAAUCGGGCCGUCCACCCCGUCCUCCGUCCACCAUUUAAUUUAACGGACAUAAUUGGAUUGGUUGUAAUGGAUAUCGGACCAAAAAAUAUCUACACCCAAAUUGGACCAUAUCCAGAUGGUCUUUUCACAGGCUGCCCAUAUUAUUCUGUUGACUUUUUAUUUGAUAUGUUGACUUUUGUUUCUUUUACUAAUAUAGAUCAAAUUUUUUUAAUUUUCUGAAUAUUUGUUUGAUCUUUUGGCUACUACAAAAUUGAUAAUUCUAUAUUUUUUUUUAAUUUAUAUAUUGAAAAUGUUUGAGUUUUUAUUAUAAAAAGGAUGAAGAAGAAUUAAGAAUCUUUGAAUAUACGAAGUACUUUUAACAUAAAGUAACAAACCAAAACUACAAGUAAUUUUAACAUAAUAAAUCAUUAGUACCCACAAACUAUUAAGUAUUUUUAACAUAACAAAUUAUUAGUGCUCACAAAUUACUAAGUUAUUUGAGAAAAUCCAUCACAUUAUGCUUCUUUUUCUUCCUCGUCAACAAACUCGAUCUCAUCACCUACAAAAUUGAAGAAGAAUUUAAUAAGAAAUCAUCACCUAAAAUAUGAAAAAAAAAUGUGAACUCAUCACCUAAAUUAUUACCAUUUCAUUUCAUAUCUUCACGGUCAAGAACGCUAGUGGGUGUUGGUUGAAUAUAGUUCUCAGCUCCCAUCAAAUGAUAAUUAGAUUGGAGUAUUUUCUUAUGCAGAUUUCAAAUAGAUAUCAAAACUUCUUGUUAAUAGCUUAUUCAAAUCUUAAGUUAAAAUUUAUUUUCUAAUUUUUUUUGUUGCAUAAUUUCAUUACACCUUUAUAACUAAGCAUAAAUUAUGUAUAAAUUAAGCAUAAAUUUGGCAUAAAUUAGACAUAAAUUUUCCAGUUGUGCAUUCGUCUAGAAUGACGAGUAUCAGUUUAUAUUUUCUCCUUUUUUGGGCCAAGAUUAUCUCCAACGUGUUUAUGGGAAAGGUUUAAUCUUUCUCCCAAAUCACAUUGAUCCAUUUUCUUGUUUUCCAAACUGUUCAUGAUGUAAGGCUGAAACGCAUUCAUACCGUUACUGUGCCUUGUAAGUUGAGGUUGAUGACUCAAAUGAGUACAAAGAUUUCCAACGCGUUUCUUUGUUUCGAGUCACAUAUUUCAAUGUUGCAGUAAAAAAAUACAACUAAAACUUUAAUUAAAUAUGUGAAAUUAUCAGAAAUUAUUUUUCAAAGAUGUGUAUAUCUAAUGAACCUACACUUUUUCAUUUGUUAGAAUUGUUUAUUACCAGAACAGAUUAAUUGUUGAAAAUCACUACAAUGUUUCAAUUUUAAAAAAUAAGGUAAUGUAUGUGGCAGGGUUAUCUAGUAAAUGAUUGUAAGAUAUAUAUAUAUCAAUAUAUUUGAAUUUUAAAGAUAAGUAAUCUACUUCAAAAGAUUUUCACUAUCAUAGUAAUGAGGGUAGAACAUAGUGAAAUAUCGGGUAAAUGAUUUGCAAGACUAGCUAGUCUAUAAUCCUUCGAAUUUUUUCUUGAAAUAUUGACUGACCUCCAGACGAGUAUGCGUGAUCUACAGACUAAGAAUUGGUUUACACACAUGGGAAUCUACGAACAAGAAAACUAUGGUGUAUAUGGAUUGAUCAUUUUAACUAUCUUAAAAUGUAUUAUAAUGCAAAUAAUUUGAUCUGUUGUUAAAAUAUCCAUUACCAUUUUAAUUCAUUAGUCAAAUCUAGUAUUAACGACACCUUAACUUUUCCAAAAAUGAAGAAUUAGACUCAAUCCAUUAGUCAAAUAUAUAAUAUUUAAUUAAUUAGUCAAAUCUAGUAUUAAUUACACCUACACCUAAAUAAGUACAUGAACCAUGAAAUAUACUUAUAUCUUUUUCAUAGGCAUAUCAUAAGUACAUGAACCAUAAAUUAUUUAGACGUGUAGAUUUAGCUAAGGUAAAAAAAAACUGUAACGUAAUUAGGAUAAUGCUCUUUGGCUCUAGUUUCCACUUUCUACACCCACUAGUUAAAUGCUCUAUAAAAAAGAGAUGAAGCAUAGCUUAGUUUCACCAUUGAAGCGAAAAAAAAACAUAUUAGAAAUAUGAAGAACAUCACCUUUAAGCUAAUUUUAUGUGUUUCUCUUGUUGUCGUUGCCUUCGGUAAGUAUAUACAUAUCUUUCAAAUCUUAAUUUAAUAAAUGAAAUCAUAUAUGAAUAUAUGGUUAAAACUUGCGGGAAACAAGAUUUAGGCUAUCAAAAAACUAUGUUUAAAACACGUCUUGAGCAUUAUCUGUUAACUACAGUUUUUCGUACGAAAGAGAAAUUUAACAGGCAUAAGAGCAUCAUUAUCGGCGUCUUUAAAAGCGUUUUUAGUAAAAACUUAAUAUUUUAAAAAUGAGUUAGGAGAGAGAAUGAGUAAAAACGUCUCUUAAUUGAGGACGUUUGUAUACGUCUUUUAAUUGUACGUGGAAACCUGGAAUUGGUUAGAAAAAUUGGGAAGAGAGAAUGGGUUUGUUUUGUUUUCUUUUUCAUUUCUUCCAUUUUCUUUUUUUCUCUUCGACACCUUGGUUUCUCCAAUGCAUACACCAAAUACAUGAGUCUUUAAACACAAUUUCUUAUUCACCUUUUUACUCAGACAAUAAUUAAAAAUUACCUUAAAGACCCAAAAGGGUUUCUACCGAUAAUGAUGGUCUUAGAGAAACAAUAGGUAAAAUCUUAGUCAUGGUAUUUAUUAAUAGGUAUUAGUCAUGGUAUUUUUAAGUGUAGAAAAUAUAAAUAAAGGUUUAAUUUUGUGUUCCACUCUCGUUCUCAAACGAGAUUUGGGCAAAGUAUAUGAAAGCCAACGAUAGAAAUCAAUCUUAUCAAUCAUUUUGUUCAGAUGACAAUCCAUGCAUGUUGGGACUAACACAUCAUUGAUCUUAUGUAGGACAAGAUCUUGCAAAAGCCGGUGUGAAUCAUCUAGGGAUUUGUGACACAGACCUUGAGUGCCAAGGCAUGCGUUGUGACAGGGGUAAUGGAUAUUGUGAUCAGAAGGACGGAAAAUGCAAGUGUCCUAAGUUACAAGCGAUGUAUACAAAUAGAGCUGGUGUGAAUCAUCUAGGGAUUUGUGACACGGACCUUGAGUGCCAAGGCAUGCGUUGUGACAGGGGUGAUGGAUAUUGCGAUCAAAAGGAUGGAAAAUGCAAGUGUCCAAAAUAAAAUAAAAAUAUGUUAAAAUUUCGCAAGUAAACAUACUUUAUGAAGAAGUCAAAAUAUAUCAGUAAGUUUACUAAUUUUCCAUUAUGAGUUCUUCCUCGAACAACAUAAAUGAAUAUUAAUCCAAAUCGGAUAUUUGCUGAGUUACGAUUAGAUUGGUUCAACCGGAUGGUUUGGAUCGGACAAUACCCAAAGUUCUGUAUUUUAUUACGUUGAGGUUCUCUUCUUUUUUGGGCAGAAUAUUUCGUGGUUGCUCUGUUAUGUUUAUUAUUUUUCAGAUUCAGCAUGUGGUAUUCAGUUUAUUGUGUUGUGUUUUGACGUUGGUUGAUUUUCAUUACCUAAACUUAAAAAUCAGUUCAGUGUUUUUUAUUAUUUGGUACAACGUCCUACCUUAUCUAAGUUUGGGUCCGGUUUGGAUCUUAAGAAAGCCGAUCCGAUUUUAAACCAAAAGAUUCUUAUGAGACUCGAGGAUAAAAAUGUAACAUAUAUAUUGUUCCUUUUUUAAAGACAUCAGAAAAAUCUCGUCUUUCCUAUAAAAUAAACAGUAUUGAAAUCCCAAAGUCAAAACAGUGCGAAUCAAAUUUAAACUUCUGAUGUGAAUCCUACUCUAGUGUCAUGAAAAUUGGCCGUUGACGAGCAAAGCCUUUGAUGUGGGAAUCUCAAGACCGCAUAUUCUAAAACUUAGCCCCAGUUUUUUUAAAGGACUCCUCCAAUUUUUCUAAUUUCCUUCAAAGCUACAAUCUUUCAUUUUCUCGUAUUGCUCCGAUUCGUUUGAUUAAAAGCAAAACGAAGUUUUCACUGGUAAUGUCCUCAAUCUGUCUUUUUGAAUCCAAUUGCAAAUUCGUUGUGUUUUUGGUUUUCUUCAAAUGCCCACUUGACUUUGAUGAUUUUGGAUUUGACCAAGUGUUCAAUUUCUGCUCACAUGUGGUUUCUCUUGUGUUUCAGUAUCUUCUUUCUCUUACGACAUGAGAGACGAACAAGCUCUUGCAAUCUUGGUGACUUUUGUACUGUUAGCUCUUGCAGCAUUUCAAGAAGUGAAAUCUCAUAAAGACCAACCUUUAUCAGGAAUUGCUAUCCAUAAAACAACAUUCAAUCUCAUUGAAAAAGCUUAUGUCAAAGCCUCCCCAACAGUUCUUGGAUCUAAUGUAAUAACUAUUCUCUCUCCUUUUUAUAGAUAUUUCAGAUCUUUCCUUGGAUUUAUGAUGAAAUGCUAAACUUCAAUUCUUUUUUUUUUUAUUUGGCAGGUUCAACAUAGUGAAAUGGUGUUGGUCGAAUAUAGCUCUCCGAAACCAUCAGAUGAUGAUUGGAUUGGAGUGUUUUCUCCUGCAGACUUCAAGUAGAUUAACACAUUCAUUCUCAUCAACUUCGUUCUGAGACUGAAACAAUGAGUGUUAUGUUUAAUACUUUUUGUUGUUGUUCCUACAGUGCUUCGGCUUGUCCAGGAGAUAACAAAAUGGUGAAUCCACCUCAGCUGUGUUCCGCUCCUAUCAAGGUUUUUCUUUUCUCUCAUAGCAUGAUUUACCAUUGUUCUUGAUUUUUCUUCUCUGUAACAAGUGUUUAGCUUUUUUCCUCUUUUGCAGUUUCAAUAUGCAAACUAUAGUAAUACAAGAUACAACAAUACCGGCUUCGGUUCCUUGAAGCUUCAACUGAUCAACCAGAGAUCUGAUUUCUCUUUCGCGCUCUUUUCUGGCGGUUUGUUGAAUGUAACACUCUCAUUCACCAACAAGUUCUUUAGCUUCAAAGGUUUUUAGUUAACCAUUCCUUGGUUUUGCUUUUAACUUGUGUUAUAGCCAAAGCUUGAGGCAGUCUCAAACAAAGUAAGCUUUGAGAACCCAAAUGCACCAGUUUACCCGCGUCUUGCGCUAGGCAAAGAAUGGGAUGAAGUAAGUUUCUGAAAACCCUCUGAUGAUUAUUUUCUGUGGAAAUGACCCAAAGAAGUGGCAAUGAAUCUGUGAAUAGAUGACAGUGACAUGGACUAGUGGUUAUGGAAUCAACAUUGCUGAACCUGUUGUCGAGUGGGGAGUCAAAGGAAGAGAGCGUAAACUCUCACCUGCUGGGACAUUGACCUUCCAGCGUAAUAGCAUGUGCGGUGCUCCUGCAAGAACGGUGGGAUGGCGUGAUCCCGGAUACAUACACACAGCUUUUCUCAAAGAGUUGUGGCCUAACUCCAAGUAUGUGCCAUGUGUUUUCUCUGUUCUAAAACGAGUAAUCGGCUUAAGGGAGGGACCUAAUAUAUAUGCAUGAAUCACUGAGACUUGAUAUGAUUGUUAUACAGAUAUACCUACAGAGUUGGGCAUAGAUUGUCCAACGGUGCAUUCGUCUGGAGUAAAGAGUAUCAAUUCAAAUCUUCUCCAUUUCCAGGCCAAAACUCUCUCCAACAUGUUGUCAUCUUUGGAGACAUGGGAAAGGUUUGAUAUUUUUUAAGACUAAGAGUAGAUCAGAUUGUCUCUGAGCCACAUUCAUACCUUUCUUGUUCUAUAUUCCAGGCUGAGGUUGAUGGCUCAAACGAGUACAACGAUUUCCAACGCGCUUCUCUCAACACCACAAAGCAGCUUAUCAAAGAUCUAAAGAAGACAGAUGCAGUUUUCCAUAUUGGAGAUAUCUGUUAUGCAAACGGAUACCUUUCGCAAUGGGACCAAUUCACAGCUCAGAUUGAGCCAAUUGCUUCCACUGUUCCAUACAUGAUUGCAAGGUUUUACCUUUUUUUUCUUUACUUUCUUACAAAGUUGUUGGCUUUCUUGUUUACCGAGUCCCGCAUAUAUUGGCUCUGUUGCAGCGGAAACCAUGAACGUGACUGGCCCAACUCGGGAUCGUUUUACCAGAAUUUAGACUCUGGAGGAGAAUGCGGUGUACCAGCGGAGACAAUGUUCUACGUUCCUGCUCAAAACAGAGCCAAGUUCUGGUACUCGAGUGACUAUGGAAUGUUUAGAUUCUGCGUGGCUGACACAGAACACGACUGGAGAGAAGGAACAGAGCAAUACAACUUCAUCGAGCAUUGCUUAGCAUCAGUGGACAGAAAAAAGCAGCCGUGGCUCAUAUUCUUAGCUCAUCGAGUGCUCGGCUAUUCCUCAACAUCGUUCUAUGCAGAAGAAGGCUCUUUUGGCGAACCAAUGGGAAGAGAUAGUCUUCAAAAGCUCUGGCAGAAAUACAAAGUCGACAUUGCAAUCUAUGGCCACGCACAUAACUACGAGAGAACAUGCCCGGUUUAUCAGGUAAACAUCCACCACAAGUAUAUCAAGAAUGGUUCAUAAAAAACAAAAAAUCACUCCAUUGUUCUGUUGCUUUUUGUGUGUGUGUGUAGAGUGUAUGCACGAGUAAUGAGAAGAGCAACUACAAGGGUCCGUUGAAUGGGACGAUCCACGUUGUUGCUGGAGGUGGAGGAGCUGGUCUUGCUGAAUUCUCCGAGCUACAACCGAAUUGGAGUCUGUUCAGAGAUUACGACUACGGAUUCGUUAAACUUACAGCAAUUGAUUACUCCAAUCUUCUGUUCGAGUACAAGAAGAGCAGCGACGGACGAGUCCAUGAUUCAUUCAAGAUAUCAAGAGAUUACAGUGACGUCUUGGCUUGUGCUGUUGAUAGUUGCCCCGCAACAACACUUGCUUCAUAAGAAUACGAUCUUGCAACUGCGUGAACUCUUUCUCUGUUGUAGGGAUCACACACACAUCAAUUAUACGCACUGACAAUUUAAGUUUCAGAAAGGUUUCUUCCCGACUUAUUUAUCAUCUUCCGACAUAACUGAAGUUUCAGUUCUUAGACACUCAUUUGAUGGUUCUUUUGAUGUUCUCAUGUAUUACACUUAAAAUACAAGAGAAUCUUGAUCUUCAUCCUAAUCCUCAACACCAAGAUUGAGAUUUGGCAUUUUCAUUCUCAAAGCCAAACUAAGCAGAAAUCCGAAAGAUAAAAACAACAAGAAAUGAAACAAGAAGAGAAAUACACAUCCGGUUCUUUCUUUGUUUCAAAACGUUGACGAAGAAGUAUUGACAACGAUAUGCCGAAGAGGACGAUCCACAUCUCCUCCUCCACCAUGUUUAACAAACUCAGCGGGUGUCAAGAAACUGCCAUGGCAAAUGCACAUUAUCCGAACUUCCUCUCCUUUCCCGUACUUGUACAGAAUCCCAUCAACACGUCUUCCGUUAGGACCGUCUCCUUUGGUAAACACACAAGGCAUGUCGAACAAACCAGUAGACGUAGCCGUGCCUUUGCCUUUCCUAUCCACAGAUUCAUCUUCUCUUCUCACUCCUUUCUCAUUCUCCUUCUCAUUCGCUCUUGGUUUCUCCGUUCCUUGGCUUCCGCUAGUAGAAGAACAUCUUGUCAUGAUCUUCGGGCUUCUUUCGUCACCGCAACUGUUUGAUGAACCUACAAGACAGUUCAAGUUUUCUCAGUUUCUUUCCAACAACAAUGUCACUAAUCUUAAAAAGCAAAAAAAAAUUGAACUCUACCUUGUUGAUUCUUGUUGUCCAGCUCUGACAAGCAUGAAGAGCUGCCUCCUCCUCCUCUUCCUCCAUCGGAAUCAAAAGACACUUGUCCAUUAGAAGAAACCAAAUGUCUCUGCAAAAACCCGCUUUUACUCGCAGUGGCCCAUCUCUCGGACUCAAACGACGGCGUUUGGUCAACUCUGAAACUCUGUUUCUCACAUCUCCUCCUCUUAGCUUCCAUUCUCCUCAGCGACUGCAUCUCUUUCCUUUUCCUCCAUUCCUCUUCCAUCUCCGCCGGUAACGACGUCGUUCUAGCUAAACCCACCGUGUAAUUCUCCGGCUCGACCUCCGUCUCGGACACAAACGUCGUCGAGUCAUCAAACGGCACAGUUCCGAUAACAGAGGAAGAUCGUUUGAGCUUCCUUGGAGUCUUGUCUACUCCGAAUCGACCUCCUAAAGACAAACCCAGAUUCAGCUCAAUCGCACUCUCAUCAUCGCAGUCUGUUUCUCCACCAUGAAACGAUCUUCCACCGCCGUUUUCAGACAUAAAACCUCGUAACAGAUCUCUCGGGUAUUUAUCUAUGUCCAGAGAAAGAUUUGUCGACACCGUCAUUUCUCUGUUCCAUGCCCUUUGUUGUCUGCUUGCUUCUUCCCCCAUAGAUUCCGGAACAACAGAAACGGAAAGAGAAACGAGAUUUUUUUUUUUGUUCUCCUUACUUAAAGAAGAAAUGAAAAUUCUGAAUGUCACAUCAGGUCAAAAUCAGAAUUCCACAGAAAAUCUCACAAAAUCAUGAAAUAAACAUAUAAUGGAACAAUUACAUACGGAGAAAAUAAUUAUGGAACAGAACUCGCCGGAGUUACCAGAGAUGGCGAAGAAGACGAAGAGGUAAAAUCGACAGUUGAAGAGUAGAGACGGAGAAGAAGAAGAAAACCCUUUUUAGACAUUAGAGAGAUAAAAGAGAAAAAGAAGAAGAAAGAGAGACAGCUCCUUGACUGAGAGGAGGCAAGUGGCCGCCGAGAGAGCUGCCUGAACGACACGUGGCCGGUGGAUUACGUCGGCGUUCCAUAGCGCUGCUUGAAGAAACGUGUCUUAAAGCGACUGAGUUAAUCAGAGUCACGACACGUGUCUCCCAGGUAAAAGAUCCGUUUUCUCUCUAUUUAUUUUUUUGUCUCCAAUUUUUUCUUAUCUUCGGCCCCAAUAAAGUAAAAACUUCUAAACCAGAUUAAACUUUUUAAUAAAAAAAAACUAAAAACCAGAAUCGAUUCCAUUUCCAAGUGCUUAAAAUUAUUACUUAAAAAUUUGUGCUAGAUAACCUUUUUACUAUUCAUAUUUAGUUAAAUGGAAAAAUACACUAUUAUUUUUUUUUAAAUACACUAAUGCCCUUACAUUAUCUUUUCGCCUAGACCCCUAUAUACAAUUUCCUCUGCUGCAUCUCUCAUCCUUUAUAAAUCAGUAAGUAUCUAAAUCCCGUAACUUUUUAUUUCUAUUAUACAGUUUUCACAUCUAAUUUCAUCGAUUGCAUGUUAACAUUUCUGUAGAUGUCGAAUUUGAAUUUCUCCGGGAGGUUCUUCGCUGCCGAGCAAGAGCCGAUUGGUAAAAGGGUGAACUCGUACCAGAAAUCGAAAUCCCAUAACUUUUUUAUUUCUAUUAUACAGUUUUCACAUCUAAUUUCAUCGAUUGCGUGUUAACAUUUCUGUAGAUGUCGAAUCUGAAUUUCUCCGAGAGGUUCUUCGCUGCCAGGCAAGAGCCGAUUGGUGAAAGGAUAAACUCGUACCAGAAAUCGAAAACCAUUUCAACUAUUUUUAAAGUCCUUGAUGAAAACAAAUCAAAAGUUACGAUUUUGAUUAUGAUUUUGAUUUCUAGUUAUUAUUGGUGACUAUUGUUCAUAUAUUGUGGUUUCUGGAGAUUGAAGAUGAAAUAUAGAAUCAAUGUUUUCUGAUGAAUAUAAUAAGUUAAUCUAAAGGUUGAUGAUUUACAAUUUUACUUAUCUUGUGAAAUAAAAAAUUAGAGCUAUAUCAAAAUGUUUAAAUCGUAUAAUAACAUGCAAACACUUAUAGAUAACAUGUAAGUUAACCAACAAUGAUUAAGUUACCAUGUUAAAACAAGUGUUAGCAGUACAUUUACAUAUUUACUUGAUACAAUAAAUUUUAACAUGAUACAAUAACAUGUAACUUGUUACCAUAAUCUAACGGGAUAUUGAUCCAUAACUUGUUUUAGUUCAUUGAUCUUUGCGACGAAGCUCUCUGUCAUAAAGUGACGGACACAAUCACCAAAAUCAAGCAUCAGAUCUUACCAGAUCAAUCGAAGCUAACUGAGAUUUUCAGCGAUUUAGGUUUUAUAGAUUCCACUAGUUUGACGGAAGAAAUACAGAGGUUGGAGAAAUCAAACACGUGAUCAGAUCGACGAGAGAUCCAAAUUCUCCGCCACAUCUCUCAUCAAAUUUGUUUGUUAUUCAAUCUGCGUGAUGCCUUCAACACGAUCCUUCGACGCUGUCAUUGAAUCUUGAUUUCGACCACUAUAAGUCGUUGUCAGACGCAAAUAUCUUGGCGGCUAUCUAGUGUCUGAUCACGUUGGAGUAUGUUAAAAAUGUAUAAAUUUAUCAUGCUAAUAAAAUAUAUACUUUGUUAACAAGUUAUGUAAUUGUAUUAGCUAUAUAUAUACAUAUGUAGUUUGUUAACAAGUUAUGUAAUUGUAUAACUUAUAUAUUAACUAGAUGAGAGCGAAAAACAUCUCGUGACGAAAAUUAAGUUAAUAAAUAAUAAUAAAAAAACAAGAAGGGUUAGAAAGUAAUUAACAUACCGACUAAAUACUGUAAAUGGAGUUUUACAUCUUCUCUUUCUUAUUUAACUAAUUUUAACCACGUUUUGAUAUUUCUAGCAAAUUGACUCUUAUUACUUCGGAUGAUAAUAAUUUCAAAAAUGAAGUUUGUCUAAUGAAAUUUGAUUUGGAGAGGUAAGAAAGAACAGAGGAAACACAUAAUUGAAAUUGAUAAAUCUAGCGACUCGACAACGUCACUCACGUGGGUUGGACCGAGGGACCCACGACGAAGCAAGUUGCUUGUGAAAAAGUGACGGAUAAUAACACUUCUUCCAUGUUAAUAAAAAGAAAAGGUAAUUUACUUAAUAAUUCCACAAAAGGCAAGUUCAAUAAAUCUAGUAAAAGACUAAAUAUAAUUAUAAAGUAUUUAAUGUAAAAAAAUAUAUAUAACUAUACUAAUCUUGUGAUAGAGAAGAGUAGUUUAUAAUCCAAUUUUGUGUAAAGUCGAGUGUUAUUGAUUCAGUGAUAGUUAGGUUGGAGAAUGAAAUCUACAAGUUGAAAAAGAAGAUUUUUAAGAAUCCUUGGUGGGUCACUUUGUUUGAGUCAAGUGGGGGACCAACUUGAAGAUUUAUAAAGCAUCAAAACGAAAUUGACACGUGUCAUUCACAUGUUGGUUCAUGUAAUAGUGCAACUGAUAAAGAAAACUAUACGACGUCGCUGCUUCCCCAUAGCCAAGCCCAUAAGGUAUGGGCUGUCCACUUUGGAAUUUAAACUUAAAAUUAAGGUUUUUAUGGAUUGUAGUUACUUUGUUUGAUUUGGAGUAUUUUAACAUUUUCAGUGAACUUAAAACUCGGUUAAUGAUUUUCAAUGUACAACGAACGUCCGGUUAUCUUUUGGUUAUGAUGAAAACCGGUCCAUAUAAAGCUUGGUGAUUCAGAUCGGAAAGAAAAAUGCAAUCAAAUCAAAAGAUAUUAUCCCACACAAAAUCUCAAAUGAAAGAAGGGAAGAUCGCCUAAGAGAUAAACCUACUCCACUAAAACUUCUAAUUUAUCUCUCUCGCUCUCUGUCUUCCUAUAAAACUCUAGAUUCUCAAAUUCAAAUGAACAAUAGAAACAACAUUAGAGUAUUUAAAAAAAAAAAAAAAAGACUCUGGAUUGAGCAUUUUCAAUUCGAUCUAAUAAUCGCAAGAAAAAAAAAAAGAUUGAAACUGGAAACACAGUAGUAUUUAAAGUGCCAAAAUCUCCUUGAUAAUACUAUUUGAAGACAAAUAUUGAAUUAUGAUCAGAAAACCUUAAUUCUCACCUUCAAUAGGCAACUUGAAACGGCACAAUGGACAAAGGUGGCUGGUCCUAAACCAAUCGACGAUACAUUGAUCAUCAAACGCGUGCCCACAGGAUAAGGUCACGACUAUUCUGCCGGCGCCAAACUCCUCUAGACAAAUCGCGCAACUAUCAUCACACGUCGUUAUAGACAUAGCCUCCUUGUCCGUGUCGUAGAUUUUCUUGUUCAGGGACAUGACAGCGAGCUUGCUUGCGGGUCUAAAAUCCGAUAUUGGUCUCAUCGAAUGAGAAUUGAACCACUGCCUCCUCUUCCUCUUCUAUUUGAGGAGGAGGAAUGGGAUCAAUAGCCAUUCUCACUGACAAAGCACAACCUGGAGAAUACUCAGGCGACCAAUGCACAAUAUUAUCGACAAACAUUUAGAGGCCUAACAGUACCUCGGUAUCAAUCCCAGCAUCGCUCAAGAAUGGAUUCAGUACACUGCUGCCUCCAAAAUCUUUAACGAAUCCAUUGAUACGACAUUUAACUGGGGACGUAGGGCAUGUUCGUACAGGAUCAAACAUUCCAACAAUACUUGCGUAGAUUUUUAUUGUACCAGCAUCUUCCGGUUUUGGAUUCUUGUCUAUUUCGUGGUCGAAGGAUGUUUCGGCGUUCAUGACAAUACGAUCUGAAACACAAGAAUGGAUUUGGUUUUAUGUUCUUUAUUUAUUUAGAUGUGAGGGAGAUACUGUAUAUGCUCUUCAAUUAUAUAUAUGGACUUUCUCAUAUUAGAAUAUGGAAAUUAAAAAUAAACUGUUUUGAAAAACGAAAAAAAUAAACGUCAAAACAAAUAUUAAUAAACCAAUAAAUAGACAAUUCUAAAAAAAAAAGGAUUAAGAGAUAAAAAAUUAAAAAUUAAAAAAAAAAUCAUAUUUCAGUUUUAAAUAUAUAAAACCGAAUGAUUCAAAGUUACUAAGCAAGUCAAAGUCGACUAAUAAAAAACGUUAAAUUUUUUAAAUAUUUAAUUAUUGAUUUAUAAUUUUAUAACGAAAAAAAAUUAUCUUAAAAGACUUUUCCUUAAAAUAUCGUUUUUCUUAAAUUAUCUUAAGAUUAUCUCUUUCUCUCUUUUUCGUAAUCUCUCACAGAUUAGGAUUAGGAUUUUUUUUCUUUUUCUUUAUCUCUUAAAAGUAAUGGUUUUUUCUUUUCCUUUUCUUAGUCCCUAAUAUAAUAUACACUACGAUUAAAUCCCUCCAUCACUCAAUAUAAAAAAAAAAUAUGAUCCCAAACAAAAGCUCAAAUGAAAGAAGGGCAUAUCGCCUAAGAGAUGAUAAAACCUACUCCAACAAAACUUUUAAUUUCUCGCACUCUCCUCUUCCUAUAAAAAACUUCAGAUUCUCAAUUUCAAAUGAACAAUAACAACAACAUUCAGAAUAUAAAGAAACAAGACUUUAAACUCUUUUAGUCUCUGGAUUGAGCAUUUUCACGGCCAGCUUUCACCGUACCCUUCUGAGAAACUUUGCCAUCACCAUUACUAGCCUCACCGUUGCGUGAUUCUCCCCGUCUCUCAUUUCCAUUUCUUCCAUAGCCUCGUCCUCCAUUAUAACCGUUGCCACGAGGCCUAAACCCGUCGUUCCUGUAACCGUUCUCGCUCCUAUAACCUCCGUUUCGCAUUGAGGAUGUACCAUCAUUGUUGCCUGCAAAGCAGAAUCUCAAGGGUUUGAGUUUUUAGAUUUUGGUGACAGUAUUCACUAAGUAGUAAACUUCACUUUUAACUUACCUCGUUUCUCUUCUAUAGAAACUCUCCUGUUUCCAAUUCUGAUGGCUGACUCUUUGUGAGCCUAGAGUUGUAAUCAGCCAGUUUAUAAUCAGAAGAAAAAUCCAGGCUUUUAAAUCAAAAGUUGUAAGAGAUUAAGACAAUGUCUAACGAUACCUUGAUGACCAGUUUCACAGCUUCAGCAUUUUCGUAUGUCACAAAACCGAAACAGUUUCCCUUAUGCUGAAAAUUGAAAAUAUUUGGAUGGUUAAAAGUUUUGGAGGUGGAACAAAGUAAUACAUGUUUCCUCUAAAGAUCAAUUCAUAAACAACUCACCCUGUAGCUUCUAACUUGGAUACCUUUUUCCUUGAUAACACCAAAACCUUUGAAUACUUCAUUGAGUUGCUCCUCUGUAGCGUCCAUAGGCAAGUUUGCAACAAAUAUGGAACCACCCUCAGCUGAUACAUUACAAUAUGGCAAACUCACAUUAAGACAUGGAAAAGAUUAAACACGAAAAGGGAACAUUUGUGNNNNNNNNNNNNNNNNNNNNNNNNNNNNNNNNNNNNNNNNNNNNNNNNNNNNNNNNNNNNNNNNNNNNNNNNNNNNNNNNNNNNNNNNNNNNNNNNNNNNNNNNNNNNNNNNNNNNNNNNNNNNNNNNNNNNNNNNNNNNNNNNNNNNNNNNNNNNNNNNNNNNNNNNNNNNNNNNNNNNNNNNNNNNNNNNNNUAGUUUAUAAAAGCAAGGUUGAGCUAUAGAAUUAGACAAUACACAUAAUGAGGACUCACAACUACUGCAAAGGAUUUCUUGGGAGCAGCCACACCGUUGCUGAUAUCGUUCACAACUUUUUCCUCUCGGGUUUUGGGAUGUCCAUUUGCUAUAGCUCGUUCUGGUUUUUUCACCGCAACUUCAGCUGUCUGUUUCACCACGGUCUGUUGAGUUGGGAUAGAAACUGGCUCUGCAACUUCAUUUGCCGGCUCCGCUGAUAAAAAAAAGAAAAUCAAUUUUCUUAUGAAAAUCCAAAAUGUAGAUCGGAUAAUGAAAAUCAAAUAACACUUUGGCCGAUACUCACCCAAGAUUGUGACUGUUACUUGAGGAGUCGUCUCCACAACCUCCUUCUUGUUAGCUUCUGGUUCAACAAAGUCAUCAGAGACAUACCUAAAGACAUCGUUGAGCACAAAGUAGCUUCCUUUCUGCGGCACAAGGAAAAAAGAUUGAGAAAAUCUCAUUCUUUCUCCAUCUUUCACGGUAAGCAAACCCGUGACUAGAGUAACAACUCCAUUUUUGUAUGAUGCUUGGGAAUCAGCAGUCAAAAUCUGAAUCUUUGAGUUUUCGUAAUCGAAGGACAUGAUCUGGUCAUUAAUAGCCUGCAAAACAAGAUUGAAGAACUCUUAUCAGAAACUUUGCUUCCAACUACAAGAUUGAAACACAACUAAUCGUAAAAACUGUAGCUUACCUUUAAAGAUUUUACAGAAACCAUCUCUCCAUCGGAACCAGGGCGCCCUAAAACACUGUCCUCAAGAUAGAAUCGAUGCACUUCCGCUGGUGAUUCAUAUAAAUGGUUGUAGUAUUUUUGAACAAAAGCAUUGCCCACAAUGUGUGGAUCCACCAAUGGAGCAUUUGAUUCGAGUGCCAUCUCUACAUUAUUCAAUAGAUUCAUUAGGGUCAUACAAAAAAUAAGACUAAGUCGAAAUUGAAACAAAAACAGACUAAUAAGAACCACACAAAAAGAUUGGGUUUUGUUCAUCAAAAAAGAGACUUCACAUAAAUUAAAUCCCCACAUUGUCAUUCCAAUCUAACCGAAUGCACUAAUUCACAAAUCUCUUAUAGCUCGACAAAAGUUAAUUGCCUAACUUAAUGCUUGCAAGUUGUGAAUCUACAAAUCACUAUGUGGCGACAGAAAUCAUCCAUAGAUCUAUAUAGCUAUUAGAUUUUGAAGAAAUGUAAAAAAAGCUCAAGCUUAAGGCAGAAACACUAAACUCAAAACAAUAUUUAUAAAAACUGAAGAAGAUGAGAAAGAAAAUCAGUAUAUGGACUAUGAACACAAGCAUACCUUGGAAGAUGAGAAGAGAAGCAGAAUCAAAAUCUCAGACCAGAGUGAAGAAAAGAGAGACAGAGAGUAGCACACACGAGGGGGAUGAAUAUAAAUAUUUAUAUAUAUGGCUUCUUUUAGGGUUUUACUUAGAAAUCUCCGACGAGAAAUUUGGGAUUUCUGUAGGGCUUUUCUACAGAUUUUAUCACUAAAACAUUAUACUAUCUUUAUUUAUAUGGUAAGGAGGGAAUUCCCUUGAAAUUCUUUUGGCGAUUAUAUUGUCGAGUAAUGGAGAUUGUGGCUAAGAAUUGCCUGUUUUAUAUAAAAACAAAAGAGGUAAAAGGUUUUUCUUUUUUUUGGCCUUUUGGCUCUGGAAAUUGAAAAGGUAAAAAGAAAUUGUUCACCCCAAAAAAAAGUUUAAAAAAAUUAAAUAACAAGAAGCCCCCGGCGAGGAUCGAACUCGCGGCCUUUCGCUUACGAAGCGAACGCAAUACCACUAUGCUACGGAGGCUUCUGACAUACCAAUUCGACAAUUAAUUUAUAGAAAUACCUAAUUUCCGUUUAAGUUAGAGUGUUGCAUCAGGGCAUCGUAUAUUCCAUGAUACUCAAAUUCAGUAUUGAAUACAAAAACUGAACUGGAAUUGUGCAUCCAGAGAACAUUAUACUUGUAAUAAUAAUGUCUAUUACUUUCAUACGAUUUUUUCGUUGACACACAGCACACUUUUAUGUGACUAAAGUACGCAGGACCAAUUUCUUAUGCUUUGAAAACUAAUAUGUUCAAACUGUUUCAAUGCCAUUUUUGAAAUAAUUUCAAAACGAACUAUGAUCAACGGGCAGAAAAUUUUGAAUGGCCUACGAAAAUUUUGGUGUUGAGAUCUACCUCGAAUUAAAACAUAUACUAUUAAACAAAUUAUAUGAUGUAUGAUCUGUAGGUGCAAGAAGUUGAAAAUGAAAAUAUAUAAAAUAUAUAUGAUGUAUAUGAUUUGCGUAAAUGAUGCAUAUCAGCUAAUUAAAACUAACAUUUAAAAUGACUAAUUAAAUAACACACAUUAUCAUUGGAAUUUAAAAUAAUUUAAAUAUCAAAUCCAAUAUAUAUCAUUGAUGCAAUACAUAUUUGCUAUUUAUAUAAAUGUCAUUCAUUUUUGUUUUAAAAAAAAAACACUAAAAGCGGACAUAUGUCAAUAAAUCAUAUCAAUUAAAGAGUAGAACUGAAUUCAAUUCAUAUCUAUAAACUUUUUACAAUGUCCUCUUUUGAAUUCAAUUCAUAUCUCAAUCUUCAAUAUAAAUAGCUCUGGGAUUGUUAUAUAAUUGUUAUACAUCUCUGGGAUCAAGAUGAAGAAAGUUUCUUUCAAACUUGUGCUAUUGGUUUCACUUCUUCUCACCUUAUUCCGUAAGGAUAGCUAUACCAUUGCAUAGUUUUAACUCUAGUAUUAAAUCCGUCUUAACUAUUAUCAAAAUAGUUAUAGCCACGAAGCAACUUUGCUCACAUUCAAAACCAACCCAAAUACUUUUACUCUAGUCUUAAAUAUGGUUAAUAUUUUAAGAUUGUAAUAUAUAUAAAAAAAAGAUUUGUAAUAUAAUGAUAAAUAAAAUUAUGAUUUGCUGGUGGGUGUAGGACAAGAUCUUGCCAGUAGUAUCGAGGCUGGAGCAACACACUCAGAUGAUCAAUACCAGAAAAAUAGUGAUAAUUAUGGAAAAUGGCGUUUGGGAACGAAGUUUAAGAUGGAUCGAAAAAAUAUAAAUGGUGUUCUUAAGUGUAAAAGAGACAUUGACUGCUGUUUAAAAUGUCCUAAAGGCCUUGGAUACUGCAAUAAUCGAGGAAUUUGCGACUGUGUCAAAAGAAACCAUUGAACUUUUGAAGGAAACAAAGUCUUAUGUAUUAAAGUGAUAAAAACAUUUAUUGGAAAAAUAAAAUAAUCCCCACCCCCUCCCUAGAAACAUUUUUUCUUCCAUGACUAAUAUAGUAGUGGCCCAAUAAAUAAGUAGCGGACCGGGUACGGUUCGUAAAGCCCGUAUAUCUGAGGCAGAAUAUCGCAAUGUAUACGAUGUUAGACCAAAUCACAAACCAUCCACUUGAUCACAAUUUUGUUUUUCUUGAUCACAAGUAUUCACCAAUUACAUAUUACUAGUAAUUUUUCUAGUUUUCUACUGUUUCAAUAUAUUGCGAAAGUAAUACAUCGAUAAACUGCUAAUAUAAGUAAGAUACACAACUUGGCAAAGAUUACAAAUUUGCAUACAUAUUUGAUGACCAUUUUAGUGUGUCCAUUUUUAUUUAUGAUUUAGAAAUUUAACGUUAGACACCAAAACAAUCCAAAACGAUAUAAUAUAUCAACGAAUACGAGAUAUAAUAUAUUAAAAAAUGAUUUGCAUACAUUUUCACGAUAGUUUUAGGUAUAUAUUUUCUCUAAAGUAAAGCUGUUAAAUUGAAUAGACGAAGGUUAAAAAUGCUUAAACAACUCAUACGAUCGAUCAAAUAUGUUUAUAUAGCUCAUAUGACCCGUGACAUAAAUUUUAGAUAUUCAUUUUAUUAAUCUAUAGAUUCAGAUUUAUACAGGUAAACUGAGUCGCAAUAUCACAAUAAUACUCAUCAUAUAUCAUGUAUCAGUAUAUUAUUCAUUCUAAAGAAAAAAAAAACAAUUCAUAUAUAUCCUUAACCACAUGGCAAACAAGGGGAAGGGGAACCACAAGAUGAUGACAGGAGAAUAAGAUCAAUUUGGUUAUGUUCUAACCGAACUAGAAGUUUUUUUUUCUUGUUAUGGGCAUAACUAUAAGAUCUCUCGUUGUUCCGACAUUGACAUUUUUGGCCUCUCACUUUCCACUUUCUCUCGUUUUUUUUUUGUUCUAACUUAUUUAUUCCUACCCAUUUGGGUCCCAUAAAGAACAGCUGUUAAUAGUGAAUUAUUCUCCUGAUGUUAUAUCUUUUUCAAACUAGAACAUGCAACUUUUCACUUCAAAUACUUCACAGUUUUCAAGAGUCGUAGCUCCAUUCCAUGUAUUUAUGUAUUUGACAUUGGUCAAAGUCUGUUAACCUUUUGAAAUAGUUACUAUCAAACAUUUGGUUCCUGGUUAAAAUACACAUGGAUACAGAUUUUAUAAU